UCGGUAUGUCUACAUACCAAUAUUAUACCCCUUUUAAUUAUUCUUAAUAUAACUUCAAGUAUAUUAAUUGAGUAGCUGUAAACAAAUAUCUCCGAAUAAAUAUGUUGGUAAUGAUGAGAUAAAUUAUUGUUUGAGGUCAUUAAUUUUGUGGGGGUAUAUUUAUAUAUGCAGGUUGGCAUGCAAAUGUGGAGAAGAACCCAGGGCUGGCAAUGGCUCCAGCGGUAGAAAAAGGCAUGAGCAAAUAGAUGAUGAUGAUGAUGAGACCACUGCAUUAAUAUCAUCUUUACAUGUAACACUUAAUUCCUUGGCUUUCCAUAAUUGGUUGAUUGUACGGCUUGCCAAUUGAAUUUCAAGUUAUGUAUGUUUGUGAUUGUCAAAUAUAUUAAUAAAAAGUGUUACUAUUCAUGUUAGAUCUUCAUGAAUAAGAAUGAGAAUCGAAAAUAACUUGUAAUAUUGUGUGUGCAUGUUUGGUAUUUAGGUGAAAUACUUAGAAAGAGAGGUUGGAUUAAAUUAAUUUUUUAUUAUCAAAAUGGAUGAUUUUAAUUUUUAUAUUAAUAAAAAGAAUUAAAUAAAAUUAAUAUUUAUUGUUUUAGAAAAUGACAUCAAAUUAUUGUUUUUUAUAGUUCAAUCCAAAUAAAAUAUCUACAAAAUCAUUAAAAACUUUUAAAAUGUGACUUUGUUAAAUAGUAAAUAGCAUUUUUUUAAAAGGGUUCAUAUAUAUCGUGAUACCUAAAGUUGGCAACUUCUACUUAGUAUCUAAAUCGGUACAUAAACUUGAAAAUUGUAAGUCAACUUCGUAUUUUUAUAAGUAUGAUGAUGUUGGUGUAGUGUGAGGAAGAAGACUUGAAUGGGUUUGAUUAUUUUUAAUAAUACAGGAAUUUACAUAUUAUAAGUAAAUAGACACUCACAUUCUUUAUGUAUUAUAAGGAAGAAGACUAAGUCGAUCUACUUUGUAAUCUCAUCAAUCUUAAUUUUCUCAAUUGUUAAGGGAGUUCAAAUGAAAUACAAAAUUUUGGUAAAAAAAAGUAUCCAAUUUUGUGAAUAAAAAAUAUAUGGUAAAAAAGAUUUGGUAUCGAUACUUCGGCGCGGGUAUCAAUACUCGAUACAUUGCUUUUGGUUGGAAAGUAGUGUCUGGAACGGCCAUGGGAUGUGUUGUUUUCCAAACCGGUAAGGCGAAAAGGUUUGUGAAUUUGGUUGAAGACCAACAUGAGAAGAGGCGAAGAAGAAAACCAAAAUAUAGCAAUCGCAUCAAUGGAUGAAGAAGGAUCUAGUUGGUGCAAAUGAAGUUAAAGCAUUUGUGCUGUGUCUUCAUAAUUUCUUGUUUAGUAGUCUGUCAGAAAGUUUUUCCUAUGGUGAAAAGUUGCAUUGGUAUGUGUCUGUCUUUAUGAUUGUACCAAUUCCUCUGUAUUUCAUUGCAUUUCGUACUAUUUGUAAGGGUUUAGUUCGAGUGUAACAUCUUGUAUGGUGCAACUAUGUAUGUCUUCUUUCUUGAUUAUUGAAAUUAUAAUCAAAAUUAAUACAUGUUCUUUUUAUUAGCUUAAGGGCGUAAAAACACUUCAAAAUUUUCAAAAAAUAAAAUAAAAUUUUAAGUCCCUCUUUUUUUUACACUCAAUUGAAAUUUUUAAAAUGUAUCAAAAAUAUCUUUACAGUUCUUCAAAAAAAAAAACAAUUAAACCCCUAUUUUUUUUCCGCUCAAUUGGGUACUUGAACUUUCAUAAUGCAUCAAAAAUGCCUUAAAUUUUUUUCAAAAAAGCAAUUAAGCCCCUACUCUUAUUAAAAAUUAGAAAAAAAUCAUAAAAAUAAUAAAUUUUAGAAAAAAUUAUUAAAUUUUAAUAAAAAUUUAAAAUUUUAUUAAAAAUUAGAAUUUUUUUUUAGAAAAAUCGUCAAAAAAUAAAAAAUUAUAAAAUCCAUCAAAAAGUUUUAACAAUUAACUUUAACUAUUGAUCGUUAAAGUUAACGACCUCUAGUUUUUUCAAUUAAAGUCAUUAUGUGUCGCAACUCAACGUGACAUGUAGCGAAAAUAGAUAAAAAAGUAAAAAUCAAUAAAAGUUAUAGAAAAAUUAUAAAAUAUUUCUUUUGGUAGAAUAAUUUUUAUAAAUUUUUUUUACAAAAUUUAUAUUUCUUUACAUUUUGUAUAAUUUUCUUAUAACUUUAUAAAAUUUUAUAAAUUUUUAUAUUUCUAUAUAUUUUAAAAUUUUUUAAAAUUUUUAUAAAAUUUUACAAUUUUUAUAUAUUUUUAAUAAAUUUUUAAUAUUUGAUUUUUUAUUAAAAUUUAAUAAUAUUAUAGAUUUUAUUGAUUUUAAUUUUUUAUCUAAUUUUUAAUAAAAUUAGGGGGUUAAUUGCUUUUUUUUUAAGUUUGAGGGUCUUUUUGAUGCAUUUUGAAAGUUCAAGUACCCAAUUGACUGCAAAACAAAAAGAAAAAAAGUAGGGGCUUAAUUGCUUUUUUUGAAAAUGUUUGAGGGCUUUUUUGAUGUAUUUUGAAAGUUCAAGUACCCAAAUGAGUGCAUAAAAAGAACAGGGGUUUAGUUGCUAUUUUGAAAAAGUUUGAGGGCUUUUUGCACCUUUAAACCUCUUUUCUUUUUCUAAAUUUAAUUUAGAACCAACUUUGUGUAAAGACUUGGGAAAUUUAAUUAGCAAAAUUUCUUUCCAUGUAAAAAUUUCCCCUAUUUCUUGUUUGAAUUUAAAGCAAUACAAUAUUUUUCUAGCAAAUAAUAGAAAAUGACAGUCAAUUAAUUCCAGCAAUACAACAUUUCCAGUCUGGUGGAAAACAGCUAGGGACCAAAUUUUUAAAGUGUUGUUUACUACACACUUAGGGACCAUAUAUGUAUAUAUAUAUAUUCCAGUCUGGGUCUUUGUCGUGUUUUGUUGGUUGGCUAUGGCCUUCUUGUUGUUUCAUGGCCACUGCCCGUGAAUUAAGUCAUAUGUGGCCUUGUUUGCUAGACCUUAGUUGCUAAGUUAAAGGGAGUGAAUAGAGCACCAUAUUUCUUCUUCUGCGUGGAAAAUAAGUUGGCAUUAUGCCAAAUUCCACAUUCAUACAUAGAAAGGAAGCAAGGCCAAGUCAUUAUACUUUGUAAUCUCAUCAAUUCUAAUUAUUUCACUUCUUCAUUCUUUAGGGAGUUCAAGUGAAAUACAAAUUUUUCCACAUCCAAUCUCAUAAAUAAUCCGUCUUUGAACUUUCACAAAAAAAUAUUAAAUACCCAUUCACUUUAAUUCUACUAUUCUUAAAUCAUUCAAGUUUUGUGGAAAAUAUGCUUCUUGGAUAAAAUUAUUCAACACACAUGCCUUGAAUUUUAUGCAAUAAAAUAAAUCAAUAUAGGCCACACAUGCUUUGAAUAUUUAAGUAGUCCACAAUUUUGUUCGUUUGUGUGCAAAAUUCUACAUUGCUUGACAGCCAUACAUUCUAAGUAAAUAGACACCCACAUUGUUUACGUAUUAUGAAGAAGAAGACUAAGUCAGUCUACUUUGUAAUCUCAUCAAUCUUAAUUUUCUCAGUUAUUUAGGGAGUUCAAAUGAAAUACAAAAUUUUGGGAAAAAAAAUGUAUCCAAUUUUGUGAAUGAAAAAUAUAUGGUAAAAAGGAUUUGGUAUGGAUACUUCGGCUCGGGUAUCAAUACUCAGGGUAAGUUUAUCGAUACAUUGCUUUUGGUUGGAAAGUGGUGUUGAUAGGUGAUGACUAAAAUUUGAUAAAUUUGAAAAGUACAUGAAAUUUAACGAUUAUUGUUUGGUGAUGACUAAAAUUUUAAAAUUUGAAAAGUACAUGAACUAAAAAUGACCAAAUUAAAGUAUAAAGAUUAAGUCCACAACUUUUGCAAAGUACAAGGACUAAUAGCAGAAAUUAACCUAAAUUUCAUAUGGGUCAAUUACAAAAAUAAUCACUAAACUAUUCCUUUGGUUCUAUUCUAGUCACUCAACUAUAGAGGUGCUCAUGGGCUGAGCCAGGUCAAGCCUAAGUAUGAUAUUAAUGUAUUUUAUACUUGCUCAAGCUUGGCUCGGCCUGAAAUAUGAGCUUAAAAUUUUGCCUGAACUCAUCCAUAUUUGCAAAAGACUAACCCAAGCUCAUUUUAAGCAUGCCUAUAUAAUUUUUAAUUUUUUUUAAAUAUUUAUAUUAUAUUAUAUUAAUUAAUAAUUUAAACAUUUUUUAUUUAUUAAAAUUUUUUAUAGUCAUUUUAACAUUAUUUUAAUGUUUACAUUAUAGUAUUAUUAUAUAUUUAGUAUAAGUAUUUUUUUAAUAUGUUCUAAUUUAUAUAAUAUAAAGUAUUAUACACUUAAAAACGGGCCGGGCUGGGCUUGAGCUUUAGUUGUUACUCAACUAUUAAUUUUUUCGAUUUAGUUGUUAACCUUUUCAAAAGUAAAUAUUUUAGUCAGUCUCCUAUUAGUUGUUGUUAAAUGAGUGACGGAAAGCUAAUGUGAGCUUUUUUUAUUAGUCUAAUAACAAAUUUAGCCCUCCAAUGUUUACACAUUCUAUCAAUUUGAUCGUAAAUAUAAAAAAAAAAUCAACAAAUUUAGCCCUGAAUAUUAACAAAACUUGUCAUUUUAGUUCAAAUUCUAAAAAAUUUAAUAAAUUUAACCUUUAAUAUUUUCAAAAAAAUAGCAAUUUAGUUCUAAUUCUAAAAAUUUUAAUAUAUAUAUUUAAAAAAAUAUUUCUAAUCCUCUGUCUCACCCUUUGAUUUUUUAGAUGAGCUAAAAUCAAAAUAUAUCAUUAUGUCUUUUUGUUUUAAUGCUAAAAGAGAUAAAAAAAAAUGGAAAGCUAAAAUGGCUUUUCGUUUGUGAAGUUACAAAAUGCCAAAUAAAUUAUUAUGUCUUUUUAGUUUUAAUUUUUUACUUGAUUAAAAGAGAAAUAAUUAACGAAUGAAAAAUAAUUAUUCACAAAUAAAUUUAUCAGAAUUUAUAACAAAUGAGAUUUUAAAUUUGAAUUUAUAAAUCAAAAUUUAUAUAUAUAUAUAUAUAAAAGAAAACACAUUUUUAUGAAAUAUAAGAUUUUGUUAAAAGAAAGAGCAUAUAAAAGCAUACACGUUUUUAUGAAAUACAAGAUUUUGCUAAAAGAAAAAGCAUCCAAUUUUAAGAAUGAAAAAUAUAUGGUAAAAGCAUCCAUAACUUUUCAAUAUAAAAGAAAAAAAAGACUAACACCAAUGUUGUGGUAUUAUUUGUUGCCUAUAAAUACCAUUCCUAUCCUUCUUCUUCCUCUACAAACAUAACAUGGCCCCCUAUCUCUUUCUCUGCCUAUUCCUCUUCUUUCCCCAUCUUUAUGCUUCUUUUCUUCUUCAGAAUCUCACUCCUGCUCUUCACUAAUCCAGUUUAAGGACUCUUUUUCCAUCACAAAGGAUGCUUCCUGGUAUUUCGAUUAUAUUACUGGCCUUAAAUCUUAUCCCAAGACAAAUUCAUGGAAGGAGGGUACAGAUUGCUGCUCAUGGGAUGGGGUCACUUGUGACCACCUAAAUGCUCAUGUUAUUGCCCUUGACUUGAGCUGCAGUUGGCUAUAUGGCACCUUCCCUUCCAAUACCACUCUCUUCCUUCUUCCUCACCUUCAAAAACUCAACCUUGCCUACAAUCAUUUUAAUUCUUCCAAAAUUCCAUCCGAGUUCGGUCGGUUUACAAGCCUAUUCUACCUCAACCUUUCCAAUACAUGGUUUUCAGAAGUCCCAUCCCAAGUCUCCCACCUGUCAAAAUUGGUUUCACUUGAUCUCUCCUCUCGGAUUGAUUACUCUGGGCAAGUUACAAUUGACAAACAUGCUCUGGAGGGACUUGUUCACAACCUAACCGAGGUCAGACAUCUGUUUUUGGAUGGAAUCAACAUGACUUCUGUUAAUGCUCAUGUCUUCAUGAAUCUAUCCUCUUCUCUAAGGUCUCUCAGUCUUGCUUUUUGUGAUUUGCAAGGAAAAUUCCCAAAAAACAUUUUUGAUUUGCAAAACCUCAAUCUCCUCAACUUGAGAUACAACCAAUUGAGUGGACAAAUUCCAAGAUCAUUGGGGAACCUCUUGCAACUCACUCAUUUACACUUGUCGGGGAACCAAUUGAGUGGACAAAUUCCAUUGUCAAUUCUAAACCUAACGCAGUUGGAAUACUUGGAAAUAUCUGAAAAUUCUUUAGAAGGUUCCAUUCCAGAUGAGGUAACCGCUUUUCCUAAUCUAAUAUAUUUAUACUUAUCUGACAAUUUACUCAAUGGAACACUUCCGUCAUGGUUGUAUACUGCUCCCUGCUUAAAGGAAAUAUAUCUCUCUCAAAAUCAAUUCAGUGGGCAUAUCAAAGAAUUCCAAACCAAAUCACUAGAAUAUUUAUAUCUAGAAAAUAAUAAACUCCAAGGUCCCCUUCCAUCUUCAAUAUUCCAACUUCUCAAUCUUACCGGGCUCCUUUUAUCCUCAAAUAAUCUUAGUGGUGUCAUAGAGUUGAGCAUGUUCUCAAACCUUCCAAAUCUCAAAUAUCUUGACCUUUCAUAUAACAGCCUAUCCUUAAUAUCUAAUACUACUUCUACUGUUAAUCAUAUAUUGCCUAAUCUUACAGGCUUACAUUUGUCAUCUUGCAAUCUUAGUGAAUUCCCCCAGUUUUUAAAAGGGCUUAAAAGUUUGGAAAGCUUAGACCUCUCUUGCAACAAAAUUGAAGGCAAGAUUCCACAGUGGAUGCAAGAGGUGGGGAAUGUCUCUUUGACUUACUUCAACGUAUCUCACAACUCUUUGACAGAAGUUGAGCACUUUCCAUGGAAGAAUAUUGAAAGUCUUGACUUAAGCUCCAAUUUGAUCAGUGGAAAUCUUCCGAUUCCAGCUUCGACCAUCAAUGUCUUUCUGAUCUCAAAUAAUAGUUUCAAUGGAGAGGUCUCUUCUUUAAUCUGCAAUGCCAGUGAUCUUGAAAUUCUUGAUUUGUCCCACAAUAACUUGAGUGGAACAAUUCCGCAAUGUUUUGGAAAUUUGAGCAACAGCCUUGAAUUCUUGAAUCUGAAGAAGAACAAGUUCUAUGGGACGAUUCCUCCAAAAUUUGCAAAGGGAUGCCGAUUGACUAAUUUCAACUUAAAUGGAAAUCUGUUAGAAGGGCCAUUGACUCCAUCCAUCCUUAAUUGUAGGGGUCUGGAAGUGCUAGAUCUUGGUAACAACAAGAUCAAUGAUACAUUUCCUCAUUGGUUGGGAAGUCUUCCACAGCUACAAGUUCUUGUAUUGAAGUCAAAUCAUAUGCAUGGUUCCUUAUGUGUCAAUAGCUCCAAGUCUAGCCCUUUUUUCUCUAAAAUCCAAAUUUUUGAUCUCUCAAGUAAUUAUUUUUCUGGACCCCUACCAGUGAGAUACAUCAACAGCUUCAAGGCUAUCAUAAAUCUAGAGAAGAUUGGUAGUACAGUGUCGUACAUGGGGGUGAAUGAUGGCUUCUAUACCUAUUCCAUUGGAAUUGUUAUAAAAGGACAAUAUAUGGAAUUGGUGAAAAUUUUCACCAUGUGGAUGAUCAUUGAUCUAUCAAACAAUCAGUUUGAAGGGGGUAUUCCAGAGGUUUUUGGGAAGCUUAACUUACUGAAAGGGCUCAACCUUUCUCAUAAUAACCUUAAUGGUGGUAUCCCCACCUUAAUAGGGAAUUUGACAAGUCUUGAAUGGUUGGACCUAUCUUCAAACAGGUUGUCUGGGACGAUUCCAAAUAGAUUGGCAGAUCUGCCAUUUCUUUCGUCCUUCAAUGUUUCUGAAAAUCAACUCCAUGGUCAGAUUCCUCAAGGCAAACAGUUCAACACAUUUGGAAAUGAUUCAUAUGAAGGAAACAAGGCAUUAUGUGGAUUUCCGGUCUCAAAAGGUUGCAACAUCAUUGAGCCAGCACCUCCAAAUGUGCUUGAAAAAGAUGGCUCAAAAUCAAACAUUACUUUUGGUUGGAAAGUGGUGUUGAUAGGUUAUGGAUGCGGAGUGGUGUUCGGAAUGUCCGUGGGAUAUGUUGUUUUCCAAACUGGUAAGCCGAAAUGGUUGGUGAAUUUGGUUGAAAUCCAACAUGAGAAGAAGCGAAGAAGAAAGUCAAAGGAUGGCAGUCGCAGCAAUGGACGAAGAAGAAUCUAGUUAGUGGAAAUGAUGUUCAAGUGUUGAUGUUGUAUCUUCAUAAUUUCUUGUUUUGAAGUCUGUCAAAUUUUUUUCCUAUCGUGAAAGGCUGCAUUGCCAUGCAUCUGUCUUUUUUAUUGUAACCAUUCAUCUAUAUUUCAUUGCAUUACGUAGUAUUUGUAAGGGUUUGUUUUAAAUGUAACAUUUUGUAUGGUUCAACUAUUUAUGUCUCUUUCAUGAGUUUCAUUUUUGAGUCUCAAUAAUCUCUGCAUUCAAGAUUUUGUCAGCUUAUUAAUUGGUGGAUCAAUAAUCUUCAUGCUCAUCUCAUCAUCUUUUUCUCGAGUUAAACACAGUCACUACUAUAAUAAUUUCUUCUGUGUGGAAAAUAAUUUGGCAUUCUGCAAAUUUCCACAAUGCUUGUGGAUUACCUCUGGUUGACGGCUAUACAUAUAAAGGAAGGAAACAAGACUAUGUCAAAAUUUCCAAAAAUCAGUCAUUCAUUUUUGAACAAUUAAACAUUCGUAUUCUAUUUUUCAAAAUUGUAAAUCCUCAAAUAAUGUAAAUUAGUCCUAAAACUCAAGUUUUGAAAUCUUUACAAUUUAACCCCUUAUAGUUUCAAACUUUACUAUUUUAUGCUCAACUUUCUAAAUCUUCAUAUUUCAUGAUCAUAUAAUUUAGUUAUUACAUCAAUAUUUCAGAUUUCACUACUCAAACCCUUACUUCAUUUUGGUCCUUACUUCAAUUUUAUCAAAUUAAAUCAUUUUUCAAUUUGAAUGCAUUGAUGUGAAAUUAAGGGACCACUAAACAAUGUUGAUGCGAGUUUAGGCAAAAUUGGUGGAUCCCAUCUCCACAGCAAUUUCUUUAUGGAAGUACUUGCUUUCACACUGCAAACUUGGAUAGUUUGUGGUGGACGAUGAUGAAUCAUUUCACAAUCAAACACACCAUUUUUAAACACAUAUAUUGAAAUCAUUAUUAAAAUUAUAAUCAAAAUUAAUACAAGUUCUUUUUAUUAGCUUAAGGGCGUAAAAACUCUUCAAAAUUUUCCAAAUAAAAAAUAAAAAAUUUAAGUCCCUCUUUUUUUUUUACACUCAAUUGAGUACUUAAACUUUUAAAAUGUAUCAAAAAUAUCUUAACACUUCUUCAAAAAAAGCAAUUAAACCCCCUUUUUUUUCCGCUCAAUUGGGUACUUGAAUUUUCAUAAUGCAUCAAAAAUACCUUAAUUUUUUUUUCAAAGAAACAAUUAAGCCUCUAUUUUUUUCCUACUCAACUAGGUACUUGAACUGUCAAAAAAACAAUUAAGCACCUACUCUUAUUAAAAAUUAGAAAAAAAAUCAUAAAAAUAAGAAAAAUUUAGAAAAAAUUAUUAAAUUUUAAUAAAAAUUUAAAAACUUAUUAAAAAUUAGAAAAAAUUUUAGAAAAAUUGUCAAAAAAUAAAAAAUUAUAAAAUUUUAUAAUUAAGCACUCUUAAAAUUUUGAAAAUUCUCAUUAAUCUCACACAAAUUUAAAAUUUUUUAUUAGACCCCCAAUUUUUUUUAAAAAUGUUAUUAAACCCUUAAAUUUUUAGAAAAUUUUACCUGCCCCCUCCCAAAAAAAAAACUAGUCCCAACUCUUAGGAUCCGCCAUUGGUACUUGGUAUUAACACUAUUAGAAAAUUGCUAAAUCAACCAAUGAAAAUUUGACACAUGGAACCCUUUUUUUAAAUUAUCAAGUUACGGAUGUUCUUCAAGGGCAUGGAACUCAACUUGAAAAUUUUACUAAUUUGGUUGCAAAAAACAUUGAGGAAGCAUAUAAUGAUCUAACCCUUUUUUGUUUUGUUCUGUUUUUAAUUUGUUAUGGGAUUCUAUUGAAUGAUAAUUUUUUUUAUUUCCCAUACUUGGUUCUUCAACAACAACAUAUUCGAGAUUUUAUUUUUCUAGAAUUUUUAUAUAAAAGUUUGUAUUUUUUAAAAUAAUUUUGAGUUUUUUAUAAUUUUUAUAUAGAAUCGAGGUAAAUUGGCAAAAAAUUAUAAAAAACAAAAUACUAAAAUUGUUUAGUUAAGUGACCAAAGCGAAGAUCUACCCAUAGUUCAGUGGCUAAUUAUGUAGUUUACCCUUUCAUAAUUAAAAAAAUAGUUGUUCAGUUUUUCUUGUAUUAGAUAACAUUUUAGAUGGUAAAAACCCUCUUUAGUCCCUCUCAAUUUUGAUAUUAAGUAAAUUGGUCCAUUUUUUUUUAAAAAAAUCAAAGCAAUUUAAUCUUUGUUAAUUUCGAAAGUGAGCAACUAAGGACAAUUAAUCACAAUGUCAAUAUUUUCCAUCAAUUGUACAUAUUUUUAUUGGUAUAAUAACAAAUUUAGCUCUCCAAGUUUACACAUUCUAUCAAUUUGUUUUGAUUUAACAAAUUUAGCCCGCAACAGUUACAUAUUCUAUUAACAUUUACACAUAAUAUAUAAACAUCGAGAGCUUAAUUUGUUAUUAUAUAAAUAAAAUUAUGUACAAUUUACAGAAAGCAUUAACACAAUAAUUAAUUGUCCUUAGUUGCUCCAUUUCAAAAUUGAUAAUGAUUAAAUUGCUCUAAUUUUCUGAGAGAAACCAAUUUCUUCAAUAUAGAAAUUGAGAGGGACGAGAAAUGUGUUUUUAUCCAUUUUAGAUACUAACAAGUGUUUGGCGUAGUGGCAAGGCAUAUUACAUUCUCAAGGAGAGAAUGCGUAUUCAAACGUUGGAGAUAAUAAUAUUGUGUGGGGUAUCCACGGAUCUCGAACACAGACUGUAAAACAUAUAUAAAAAAUAAAAAGAAUAACAUCUUAAUUUAAAUAAUUAAUAAAUUUUAAUUUCAAAAAAGUAUUUUGAGAAACAUAGGUUUUAGUAAAUAGUAAAAUUGAAUCGAUAAAACAUGUCCAGUAUAUCAGAAUCAUAAAAAUACAACUUAAUUAAUUUGAAUUUAAACUUAACUCGACUCAAUUUGAUUAUAAAAAACUGAUAAUUUGAAUCCAAAAUGACAUGAUCUUGAAAUGAUUUGAAUUAAUUGUCAAACCCAAACGACAAAACUCGAAAUGAUGCAAUCCAAAAACACAAGUCAAAUGAACUAAACUAUGAAAGAAAAAAAAAACCUUACACCGACUCAAAUCCAAAAUAAUUUAAUCCUAAAAUAACCCAAAUUUUAUAUAAUAUAAACUCGAAAUAACCCGAUAAUUUUUUUCAGUCUUACUGUGUUUAUCUUUAUAAGUAUUCUUGUUUUCCUUGCCCAUACAUGUAUUGUAGUUAUCAAAAAAUAUAUUCUACUUUGGAUUUUAUUUAUAUUAAAUUUUAGGUUAAAUUCCGCUAUUACUCUCUGUACUUUAUGAAAAUGAUGGAUUUAAUCAUUGUACGUUAAUUUAAUCAAUUUUAGUCUUUGUAUUUUUUGAAUUGGUCAAUUUUAAACCAUUUACUUUUUGAAUUUUGAAAUUUUAGUCUUGAUUCAAAUAAUAUUAAUAAUAAUAAAAUCUGCUUAUUUAAAUUUAAUUAUUAGUUUUGUACUAUGUAGACAAUUAUAGAUUUAAUCCAUAUUUUUCAAUUGGGUCAUUCCAAGUCUUUAUACUUUUCAAAUUUUAAAAUUUCAAUAUUGAUGCAGAAUGCGAGUUGCUAUUAAUUAAUUGAUUUUUUUAGCCAAUGCAUGUAGAAAUAAUAAGUUGUUAUGUCAUUAUACUUAAAAUAAUAUAUUGGUUUAACCCGCUUAAAUUAUGUCUUUUUUUCCAUCUUGGGACCUAAAUUUUUUUGGGGUCAUAAGUGGUACCUAAACUACUUUUUUUUCUCCUUCAAAUUAGGGCUCCUUUGGAUCACCAGCAAGUUUCAGUGUGGUGAGAUUUAAAGAGUAAAAAAAAUUUGAACUGAAACGCAGCUCUAUUUGGGGUGUUUGGCAAGCACACCAGUAAGCAUUUUUCACCUCACUGUAACCCAAAAUAUUGGCUGGAGUUAAAAGCUUCAGUGGACUGAUUUGGAAGUCCAAAAAUAAGAGUAAUUAUUAUUUUACCCCUCCAAUUCUUCCUUUAUUAUUUAUUUUAUUUAAAACAGAUAACAUAAGUUUAAUAUGUCAUUAUUUAAUAUUAUUUAAUUUACAAUAAAAUUAUAAUUUUUAUUUAUAAAUUUAGUAUAAAUACAAUUUAAUUUAUAUUUUAUUAUUUGAUUCAAAUAUAAUCUGUAAAAAUAUUUUGAUAUUUUAUUAUGAAUAUAAUUUAAAAAUAUUUUAUUGUAUAUUUAAAAUAUUUUGAUAUUUUAUUAUGAAUAUAAUCUGUAAAAUAUUUUGAUAUUUUUGAAUUUUUCUCUAGUUUUAAUUUAUUUUUAAUUAUUUAUUAUUAAAAAUAAAUAUAAUUGUAAUAAUUUUUAAUUAUUUAUUAAUUUUGUAAUUGUUAAAUAAUUUUAAAAACUUCUAUUAUAUAUAUUUUUAAUCUAAUGUCCUUAAAAGUCAUUUUCUAUUUUCACCUCACCGCUACAACUGCGUUUGAAUCCAAACACACACUCCACCGCUGUUUCUAAUCUCACCGCUACAGUAUCCAAUCUCACCGCUACAGUACCUAAUCUCACCGCCACCGCUGUUUUUAACCUUACCGGAACUAAACACACCGCCCAUCCAAACCCACCCUUAGUAUAUUCAUUAGUUAAACUGUUAAGUCUAUUUAAAAAAGAAAGACUCGGACAACAAAUUAAUACUUAAACAAUGCUCUUUUUCCCAAGGUACCUAAUUUUUAUUUUGGCCAUGAGUAUUACUAAAACUAUUAUUCCAUUACUCAUUUUACACCAAAAUGUUAUAUCGGCUGAAAAGAUUCCAACAAAUAAUAGAUUGUAUGUCAUAUAAACUUUUAAAAAUAAUUAUUAAUUAAUUUUUUUCAUAUAAACUGAACGGUUUGACUAAUGACGGAGGUACCAAAUUAUAGUCUAGGUACCAAUUUAUGGGUUAAGCCUAUUUCUAAAAUAGACUUUUGACUAAUGGCGGUAGUAACUUGGGAAAAAAAAGUAGUUUAUGUACCACUUGUGAACAAAAAUAAGUUUAGGUACCAACAUCGUAAAAUGAGUAUAAUUUAGAUACCGAUUUAUGAGUUAAGCCUAAUAUAUUUGUUGCAUCAUUUUUUUGAAAAUAACAGAACUUAAUAAAUUUAACGGUUAUUUUUUGGUGAUGACUAAAAUUUUAAAAUUUGAAAAGUACAUGAACUAAAAAUGACCAAAUUAAAGUAUAAAGAUUAAGUCCACAACUUUUACAAAGUACAAGGAGUAAUAGCAGAAAUUAACCUAAAUUUCAUAUGGGUCACUUACAAAAAUAAUCACUAAACUAUUCCUUUGGUUCUAUUCUAGUCACUCAACUAUAAAGGUGCUCAUGAGCCGGGCCAGGUCAGGCCUAAGCAUGAUAUUAACGUACCUUAUGCUUGCUCAAGCUUGGCUCGGCCCGAAAUAUGAGCUUAAAAUUUCGCCUAAACUCAUCCAUAUUUGCAAAAGACUAACCUAAGCUCAUUUUAGGCAUGCCCAUAUAAUUUUUAGUUUUUUUUUAAUAUUUAUAUUAUAUUAUAUUAAUAAUUAAUAAUUUAAACUUUUUUUAUUUAUUGAAACUUUUUAUAUAGUCAUUUUAACAUUAUUUUAAUGUUUACAUUAUAGUAUUAUUAUAUAUUUAGUAUAAGUUUAUUUUGUUAAUCUAUUCUAAACUAUAUAAUAUAAAGUAUCAUACACUUAAAAAUAGGCCGAGCUGGGCUUGAGCUUUGAAUGUUCAAGCCUGAACUCAGCCCAAAUUUUAAACGGGCCUAAUUUUUUUACCCAAACCCAAUUUUUGGGCCUAAUAUUUUUAUCCAGACCCUCCCAAAUUUUGGGCAGCCCUUGGGCCUUGGCAAGUAGCCCAACUCAUUAACAAGUUUACUCAACUAUUAAUUUUUUCGAUUUAGUUGUUAACCUUUUCGAAAGUAAAUAUUUUAGUCACUCUCCUGUUAGGUGUUGUUAAAUGAGUGAUGGAAAGCUAAUGUGGGCUUUUUUUAUUAGUCUAAAAACAAAUUUUGCCCUCUAAUGUUUACACUUCUAUCAAUUUGAUCCUAGAUAUAAAAAAAAAUCAAAAAAUUUAGCCCUGAAUAUUAUCAAAAAUUAGCGAUUUAGUUCUAAUUCUAAAAAUUUUAAUAUAUACAUAUAUUUAAAAAAAUAUUUUUAAUCCUCUGUCUCACCCUUUGAUUUUUUUAGAGAUAUUCAAAAAUUAAAAUAUAUCAUUAUGUCUUUUCGUUUUAAUGCUAAAAGAGAUAAAAAAAAUAGAAAGCUAAAAUGACUUUUCAUUUGUAAAGUUAAAAAAUACUAAAUAAAUCAUUAUAUCUUUUUAGUUUUAAUUUUUUACUUGAUUAAAAGAGAAAUAAUUAACGAAUGAAAAAUAAUUAUUCCCAAAUAAAUUUAUAAGAAAUGAGAUUUUGCUAAAAGAAAAAGCAUGUAAAAGUAUACACGUUCUUAUGAAAUACAAAGAUUUUGCUAAAAGAAAAAGUAUCCAAUUUUAAGAAUGAAAAAUAUAUGGUAAAAGGAAGACUAAGUGGUUGUUGAAAAAUACAAAAAUUUUGAAAAUCUAAUAUCCAUAACUUUUCAAUGUAAAAGAAAAAAAUGACUGUAACACCAAUGUUGUGGUAUUAUUUGUUGCCUAUAAGUACCAUUCCUAUCCUUCAUCUUCCUCUACCAACAUAACAUGGCCUCCUAUCUCUUUCUGUCCCUGUUCCUCUUCUUUCCCCAUCUUUAUGCUUCUUUUUCUUCUUCAGGAUCUCACUCCUGCUCUUCACUAAUCCAGUUCAAGAACUCUUUUUCCAUCACAGAGUAUGCUUCUUAUCAUUGCAAUGAGAUUGCUGGCCUUCAAUCUUAUCCCAAGACAAAUUCAUGGAAGGAGGGUACAGAUUGCUGCUCAUGGGAUGGGGUCACUUGUGACCACCUAAAUGCUCAUGUUAUUGCCCUUGACUUGAGCUGCAGUUGGCUAUAUGGCAACUUCCCUUCCAAUUCCACUCUCUUCCUUCUUCCUCACCUUCAAAAACUCAACCUUGCCUACAAUCAUUUUAAUCGUUCCAAAAUGCCAUCCGAGUUCGGUCGGUUUACAAGCCUACUCUACCUCGACCUUUCCAGUACAGGGUUUGCAGGAGAAGUCCCAUCCCAAGUCUCCCACUUGUCAAAAUUGGUUUCACUUAAUCUUUCUUGGAUUGGACAACAAUUAACAAUUGACAAACAUGCUCUGGAGGGACUUGUUCACAACCUAACCGAGGUCAGGUAUCUGUUUUUGGAUGGAAUCAACAUGGCUUCUGUUAAUGCUCAAGUCUUUAUGAAUCUAUCCUCUUCUCUAAGGUCUCUCAGUCUUUCUGGUUGUGAUUUGCAAGGAAAAUUCCCAAAAAACAUUUUUGAUUUGCCAAACCUCAAUCUCCUCAACUUUGGAGACAACCAAUUGAGUGGACAAAUUCCAAGAUUAUUGGGGAACCUCUUGCAACUCACUUCUUUAGACUUGUCGUUGAACCAAUUGAGUGGACAAAUUCCAUUGUCAAUUCUAAACCUAACGCAGCUGGAAUUUUUGGCAAUAUCUGAAAAUUUAUUAGAAGGUUCCAUUCCAGAUGAAGUAACCGCUUUUCCUAACCUAAAAUUUUUAUACUUAGAUAACAAUUUACUCAGUGGAACACUUCCGUCAUGGUUGUAUACUGCUCCCUCAUUAGACAGUAUAGGUCUCUCUCAAAAUCAAUUCAGUGGGCAUAUCAAAGAAUUCCAAUCCAAAUCACUAGAAUGGAUAGCGUUAGAGAAUAAUAAACUCCAAGGUCCUCUUCCAUCUUCAAUAUUCCAACUUCUCAAUCUUACCCGCCUCUUUUUAUCCUCAAAUAAUCUUAGUGGUGUCAUAGAGUUUCGCAUGUUCUCAAACCUUCCAAAUCUCGACCUUCUUGACCUUUCAUAUAACAGCCUAUCCUUAACAUCUAAUACUACUUCUACUGUUAAUCAUAUAUUGCCUAAUCUUACAAUGUUAUUUUUGUCAUCUUGCAAUCUUAGUGAAUUCCCCCAAUUUUUGAAAGGGCUUAAAAGGUUGGAAAUGUUAGACCUCUCUUGCAACAAACUUCAAGGCAAGAUUCCACAGUGGAUGCAAGAGGUGGGGAAUGUCUCUUUGACUUUCUUAAACGUAUCUCACAACUCUUUGACAGAAGUUGAGCACUUUCCGUGGAAUAAUAUUGCAGUUCUGGACUUAAGCUCCAAUUUGAUCCGUGGAAAUCUUCCGAUUCCAGCUUCGAAGAUCAAUGUCUUUCUGAUCUCAAAUAAUAGUUUCAAUGGAGAGGUCUCUUCUUUAAUCUGCAAUGCCAGUGAUCUUGAAAUUCUUGAUUUGUCCCACAAUAACUUGAGUGGAACAAUUCCGCAAUGUUUUGGAAAUUUGAGCAACAGCCUUGAAUUCUUGAAUCUGAAGAAGAACAAGUUCUAUGGGACGAUUCCUCCAACAUUUGCAGAGGGAUGCCAAUUGAGUAAUUUCAACUUAAAUGGAAAUCUGUUAGAAGGGCCUUUGACACCAUCCAUCCUUAAUUGUAAUGAUCUGGAAGUGCUAGAUCUUGGUAACAACAAGAUCAAUGAUACAUUUCCUCAUUGGUUGGGAAGUCUUCCACAGCUACAAGUUCUUGUAUUGAAGUCAAAUCAUAUGCAUGGUUCCUUGCGUGUCAAUAGCUCCAAGUCUAGCCCUUUUUUCUCUAAAAUCCAAAUUUUUGAUCUCUCAAGUAAUUAUUUUUCUGGACCCCUACCAGUGAGAUACAUCAACAGCUUCAAGGCUAUCAUAAAUCUAGAGAAGAUUGGUAGUACAGUGUCGUACAUGGGGGUGAAUGAUGGCUUCUAUACCUAUUCCAUUGGAAUUGUUAUAAAAGGACAAUAUAUGGAAUUGGUGAAAAUUUUCACCGUGUGGAUGAUCAUUGAUCUAUCAAACAAUCAGUUUGAAGGGGGUAUUCCAGAGGUUUUUGGGAAGCUUAACUUACUGAAAGGGCUCAACCUUUCUCAUAAUAACCUUAAUGGUGGUAUCCCUACCUCAAUAGGGAAUUUGACAAGUCUUGAAUGGUUGGACCUAUCUUCAAACAGGUUGUCUGGGACGAUUCCAAAUAGAUUGGCAGAUCUGCCAUUUCUUUCGUCCUUCAAUGUUUCUGAAAAUCAACUCCAUGGUCAGAUUCCUCAAGGCAAACAGUUCAACACAUUUGGAAAUGAUUCAUAUGAAGGAAACAAAGGAUUAUGUGGAUUUACGGUCUCGAAAGGUUGAAACAUCAUUGAGCCAGCACCUCCAAAUGUGCUUGAAAAAGAUGGCUCAAAAUCAAACAUUACUUUUGGUUGGAAAGUGGUGUUGAUAGGUUAUGGAUGCGGAGUGGUGUUCGGAAUGUCCGUGGGAUAUGUUGUUUUCCAAACUGGUAAGCCGAAAUGGUUGGUGAAUUUGGUUGAAAUCCAACAUGAGAAGAAGCGAAGAAGAAAGUCAAAGGAUGGCAGUCGCAGAAAUGGACGAAGAAGGAUCUAGUUAGUGGAAAUGAUGUUCAAGUGUUGAUGUUGUAUCUUCAUAAUUUCUUGUUUUGAAGUCUUUCAAUUUUUUUCCUAUGGUGAAAGGUUGCAUUGGCAUGCAUCUGUCUUUGUUAUUGUGACAAUUCAUCUAUAUUUCAUUGCAUUACGUGGUAUUUGUAAGGGUUUGUUUUAAAUGUAACAUUUUGUAUGGUUCAACUAUUUAUGUCUUCUUUCAUGACUUUUAUUUUUGAGUCUCAAUAAUCUCUGCAUUCAAGAUUUUGUCAGCUUAUUAAUUGGUGGAUCAAUAAUCUUCAUGCUCAUCUCAUCAUCUUUUUCUCGAGUUAAACACAGCCAAUACUAUAACAAUUUCUUCUGUGUGGAAAAUAAUUUGGCAUUCUGCAAAUUUCCACAAUGCUUGUGGAUUGCCUUUGGUUGACAGCUAUACAUAUAAAGGAAGGAAACAAGACCAUGUCAAAAUUUCCAAAAAUUAGUCAUUCAUUUUUUAAAAUUGUAAAUUCUCAAGUAAUGUAAAUUAGUCCUAAAACUCAAGUUUUGAAAUCUUUACAAUUUAACCCCUUACUAUUUUAUGCUCAACUUUCUAAAUCUUCAUAUUUCAUGAUCAUAUAAUUUAGUUACUACAUCAAUAUUUGAGAUUUCACUACUCAAACCCUUACUUCAUUUUGGUCCUUACUUCAAUUUUAUCAAAUUAAAUCAUUUUUCAAUUUGAAUGCAUUGAUGUGAAAUUGAGGGAGCACUAAACAAUGUUGAUGCGAGUUUAGGCAAAAUUGGUGGAUCCCAUCUCCUUAGUAAUUUCUUUAUGGAAGUAGCUGCUUUCACACUGCAAACUUGGAUAAUUUGUGGUGGACGAUGAUGAAUGAUUUGACAAUCAAACACAUAAUUUUUAAACACAAAAUUAACGAUAUAUUGAAAUCAUUAUUGAAAUUAUAAUCAAAAUUAAUACAUGUUUUUUUUAUUUGCUUAAGGUGUAAAAACCCUUCAAAAUUUUCAAAAAUAAAAAUAAAAAUUUAAGUCCCUCUUUUUUUUUUUAACACUCAAUUGAGCACUUAAACUUUUAAAAUGUGUCAAAAAUAUCUUUACACUUCUUCAAAAAAAGCGAUUAAACUCUUUUUUUUUUCGCUCAAUUGGGUGCUUGAACUUUCAUAAUGCAUCAAAAAGACCUUUUUUUUUCAAAGAAACAAUUAAGCCUCUAUUUUUUUCCCACUCAAUUGGGUACUUGAACUUUCAUAAUGCAUCAAAAAGCAAUUAAGGCCUUUUUCAUGCAUUAUGAAAGUUCAAGUACCGAAUUGAGUGCAAGAAAAAAAAAGUAGGGGCUUAAUUGCUUUUUUUGAAAAUGUUUGAGGGCCUUUUUGAUGUAUUUUGAAAGUUCAAGUACCCAAAUGAGUGCAUAAAAAGAACAGGGGUUCAAUUGCCAUUUUUGAAAAAGUUUGAGGGCUUUUUGCACCCUUAAACCUCUUUUCUUUUUCUAAAUUUAAUUUAGAACCAACUUUGAGUAAAGACUUGGGAAAUUUAAUUACCAAAAUUUCUUUCCAUGCAAAAAUUUCCCCUAUUUCUUGUUUGAAUUUAAAGCAAUACAAUAUUUUUCUAGCUAGUAAUAGAAAAUGACAGUCAAUUCAUUCCAAGCAAUGCAAAAUUUCCAGUCUGGUGGAAAAUUUGUUUCUUAGAUACUAUUAUUCAACUUUUAAGGCAUAAGUUUGAAUAUAGGGACUACAUUUUUAAAGUGUUGUUUACUACACACUUAGGGACCAUAUAUGUGUAUAUAUAUAUAUAUAUAUUCCAGUCUGGGUCUUUGUCGUGUUUUGUUGGUUGGCUAUGGCCUUGUUGCUGUUUCCACUGUCUGUGGUCUUUGUUUCUAAGUCAUAUGUGGCCUUGUUUGCUACAACUUAGUUGCUAAGUUAAAGGGAGUUAAUAGAGCACCAUUUUCUUCUUUUGCGUGGAAAAUAAGUUGGCGUUAUGCCAAUUUCCACAUUCAUACAUAUAAUGGAAGCAAGAGCAAGUCAAUAUACUUUGUAAUCUCAUCACUUCUUCUUCUUUCUUUGGGGAGUUCAAAUGAAAUACAAAUUUUGAGUAAAUCAACUAUUCAUUGACGGUACAAACGAGUUAAAAUUUCCAGCAUUCAUGUCUUUGUUUUCCCUCAAGUAAACGUAGUCAAUACUGCAAAUGGUGUGGAAGUAUUGUACAUUGUGGCCCAAAUGUCCAAAAUUUCCCCAUUGCUUGUAAAUGAAAUUUGGGUGAGAGAGAUGGGAGGAAGCAACAGCAAGUGUGAAGUCAAUAGACAAUUGACAGUCUUUAUUCUUUUGUGUGGAAAAUUAUUUGGGACCAAACUUGACUUGUUAUAAGGAAGAAGACUUUGUAAUCUCAUAAAUGUUAAUUAUUUUACUUCUUUGGUAAAAAAAAAAGUAAUCAAUUUUAUGAAUGAAAAAUAUAUGGUAAAGAGGAAGUAGUUGUUGAUCACUAAUAACAUGAUGAUUGUGGAAAUACAAAAAUUCCCGUAUAUGUGUUGAAUUCUGCAUAAUGUAAAUGUCCCGCAUUGCAUGUGAAUUCUGCAAUAAACUAAACUUUACGUGUUAUAGUUCUUUAAACCGAGUUAAUGAAAAGUAACCAUUCUUAUCAAAAUUAGUUAUACUCCUAAUUUAUAACAAAGGAAAUAAUAAUUUGAGUUUAACUCAAAGGUUAAUAUGUCAUCAAUGGGCGAUGGCGUGGUGCUACCAUGUCAGCGAUUAUUUUCUUCUUUGAGUUAAGGUGAUUUCACCAAUUUUAGGUUACUUUUUUACUUCAAUUUAGGUUUAUGCUUAUUAGCUUCGAAGAUUCUAAGUGGGUGCCACAAUCAAAGGGUGAGUAAAAAGGGUUAAAAAUGAUUUUUUUUAAAAAAUAUUUUUAUUUUUUUAUUAAAAAUUUAGAAUUAGAAUUAGACAAAUUUUGUAAAUGUUAAGGCUAACUUUAUUGAAUUUUUUUUUUCAGAAUUUGAACUAAAAUGACAAAUUUUGUAAAAAGCACUAAAUUUGUUGAAUUUUUUACAUUUAGGAUCAAAUUGAUAGAAUGUGUAAAUAUUAGAGGUUAAAUUUGUUAUUAGAUGAAUAAAAAAAACCCACAUCAACUUUCCAUCACUCAUCUAACGACAACUAAAGGGAGAGUGAUUAAAAUAUUUAAUUUCAAAAAGUUUAGCAACUAAAUUGGAAAAUUUAAUAGUUGGGUGACUAUUUUUAUAGUUUACAAUUUUUUUGGUCACCUGACUAUUAAGUGACACGUUUUAGUUGGUAUAAUAAUAAUUUUAGUCCUCAAUUUUUAUACUUUCUGUCAAUUUAACUCUAAUUAUAUAAAAUGAUUACAAAAGUGAAAUUCUUUUUAAAUUUUACAAAAUUCUAAAAAUUAAAUGAAAGUAGAUAAAAAUUUCAAAUAUAAAUAAAGUGAGAGAAAAUGAGGAAAAUAUUAUUUUUAAACCCUCCAAAUUUUAUUUGUAUUAUCUGUAAAGCAAUAUCUAAUAUCCAUUCUUUUAGAAAACAUAGAAAAAGGUAAAAAAAAGCUUAAGUAAAAUUAUCUGUAUAUAAUCUGCUUUUAUAAUUUGGGUUUUUAAAAAUAAAUUUAAAUGAAUUGAAAAUUUGAAUUGAGUUUGAAAAAGAAAAUUUUGUGGUAUAUUUUAUAUUUUUGCUAGAAAAAUAGCAUCAAAGUCGAUUUCGUAAGCUUUUGUAAUAUCAGUUACGGAUGUUCUUCAAGGGCAUAGAACUCAACUUGAAAAUUUUACUAAUUUGGUUACAAAAAAACAUUGAGGAAGCAUAUAAUGAUCUAACUUUUUUUUUCUGUUUUUAAUUUGUUAUGGGAUUCUAUUGAAUGAUAAUUUUUUUUAUUUCCCGUAUUUAGUUCUUCAACAACAACAUAUUCGAGAUUUUAUUUUUCUAGAAUUUUUACAUAAAAGUAAAGUUUGUAUUUUUUAAAAUAAUUUUGAGUUUUUUAUAAUUUUUAUAUAGAAUCGAGGUAAAUUGGCAAAAAAAUUAUAAAAACAAAAUACUAAAAUUGUUUAGUUAAGUGACCAAAACGAAAAUCUACCCAUAGUUCAGUGACUAAUUAUGUAGUUUACCCUUCAUAAUUAAAAAAAUAGCUGUUAAGUUUUUCUUGUAUUAGAUAACAUUUUAGAUGGUAAAAACCCUCUUUAGUCCCUCUCAAUUUUGAUAUUAAGUAAAUUGAUCCAUUUUAAAAAAAAAAUCAAAGCAAUUUAAUCUUUGUUAAUUUCGAAAGUGAACAACUAAAGAUAAUUAAUCACAAUGUCAAUAUUUUCCAUCAAUUGUACAUAUUUUUAUUGGUAUAAUAACAAAUUUAGCUCUCGAAGUUUACACAUUCUGUCAAUUUGGUCUUGAUUUAACAAAUUUAGCCCGCAACAAUUACAUAUUCUAUUAACAUUUACACAUAAUAUAUAAACAUCGAGAGCUUAAUUUGUUAUUAUAUCUGUAAUACCCAAAUUUUGCCCGGCCCAAGCCCAAGUAUCAAAACCCAAAUAAAAAAUAUACAUAAUAAAAGUCCAAUAACAUCAGUCCAGAUUACAAACCAAAUAAAUUAAGCCCAAACUCGAUUACAAAGUCCAAAUUCCCAAGCACAAACUGUUAACCCAACACUCCAGCCCCAAAUUAUUAGCCCAAAAUCAAACCCACUAAGCCUAAUCAGCCAACCCUAACCCGAACGGCCUACAUACCUAGCCCUAAAACAUUUUCAAAAAAACCUAAAGCAACUAUUUGCCUCAGCCGCCGCAACAGUAGCCUCCCACACGCGCGCCUCUCAUUAUCUUGAAGUAUCUUUUUGAAAUUGAUUAUUAAUUUAUGGGGUGCUUAAUUAUUGAUAUUAGUAUUUGUAUGAUAUGACUAAAAUAAUUAUUGUUAUUUGCAUUUACCUAUUAUUUGUUUGUCUUCUUAAUGUAUGUUUGGGUUGUUAUUUAUCCUUUUCGUUAUGUAUUGCUAUUCAAUCAUGUUUCAUUUGUAAGAAUUGUAUUUUUAAAGCACAACAGAUCAUUCUAUUUCAUAAUUUUCAAAAAGGCCUGAUGUUCAUAGCUCUCGAGAGAAUUGUGCCCUAACUUACUGGGCUUCAAUUCUUCUCGAUGAAUUUGAAUAGCCAAGUGUUUAUUGUAUUAAAACCACACAACUUUUAAAAUAAAGUUUUCAAGAUUUUAAAUUGUUGGAUCCUAACUUACUGGAUGUGGCAUUUUGUUAUCCCAAUUUUAAAAUAAAGGCAAUGUUUGACGUUUAAGAACUUCGAGAAAUCGAAACCUAACUUACUGGAUUCUGAUUUCUCAUUUGACUUAAAUGACCGAAUAGCCUUCUCAAAAUGCAUGAAUUUUAAAAUUUGAAAAUUAAAAAGACAUACUUAAUUUUGACGAUUGAAUCGUUGCACUCUAACUUACUGAGUGUGGCAAUUUAUUUCUUUGAAAUGAGUGUGUUUUAUUAUUCAAAUUUAAACUUUAAAAGGAUCGUAUUUUUCGACACUAAGACAUUAAACAAUCGAUUCGGUACCAAUUUUGGGCGUUACGAGGGUACUAACCCUUCCUCGUGCGUAACCGACUCCCGAACCUAUUUUCUCAAAAUUCGUAGACCUAAAAUUAUUUUCAAGGUGAUCCGGUCACACCUCAACAAAAGAUCGGUGGCGACUCCCAUUUUCAUUUUCAAAGUCGAUUCCCAUUUUUAAAACAUAAAAAAUGGUUUCGGCAAUAUCAAUAAAAAUUAUGUACAAUUUACAGAAAGCAUUAACACAAUGAUUAAUUGUCCUUAGUUGCUCCCUUUCAAAAUUAAUAAUGAUUAAAUUGCUCUAAUUUUCUGAGAGGAACCAAUUUGUUCAAUAUAGAAAUUGAGAGGGACGAGAAAUGUGUUUUUAUCCAUUUUAGAUACCAACAAGUGUUUGGCGUAGUGGCAAGGCAUAUUACAUUCUCAAGGAGAGAAUGCGUAUUCAAACGUUGGAGAUAACAAUGUUGUGUGGGGUAUCCACGGAUUUGAACACGGACUAUAAAACAUAUAUAAAGAAUAAAAAGAAUAACAUCUUAAUUUAAAUAAUUAAUAAAUUUUAAUUUGAAAAAAGUAUUUUGAGAAACAUAAGUUUUAGUAAGUAGUAAAAUUGAAUCGAUAAAACAUGUCCAUUAUAUCAGAAUCAUAAAAAUACAACUUAAUUAAUUUGAAUUUAAACUUAACUCAACUCGAUUUUGAUUAUAAAGAACUGAUAAUUUGAAUCCAAAAUGACAUGAUCUUGAAAUGAUUUGAAUUAAUUGUCAAACCUGAACGACAAGACUCGAAAUGAUGCAAUCCAAAAACACAAAUAAAAUGAACUAAACUAUGAAAGAAAAAAAAAACCUUACACCGACUCAAAUCCAAAAUAAUUUAAUCAUAAAAUAACCCAAAUUUUAUAUAAUAUAAACUCGAAAUAACCCAAAAAUUUUUAAAUUAAAAUUGACCCGACCCAAAUUCACACCACCUAAAAUCAAUCGUAACCACCUAAUUAAAAAGCAUGAAAUGAAAUGAUGUAAAGAGAAAAUUAGAGAAAACCAAAUAGAAAGUAACAAGCUUUUUUCAGAAUUGAAAGCAAAUUCCGUACAUUCACGACAUGCAUAAAACAACAAUGGUUUAUAGAAUUUGAGUUUUAGUCCCUGUACUUUAAAAGUUAAUUUUUCUUAAUUUAAAAAUUUUAGUUUAAUCAUUCAUGUUGGUUGUAGUUUCCAUUAGCUUAAUCAACAUGUUAAAUUAUUAAAUUUUGAUAUAAAAUAUUUACGAGUUUAAUAAUUAUACUGAGAUUUUUAAAUAAAAAAGUUGGAAGACUUAAUUUCUAACAUUUUAAAUAUAGGGACUAAAAGCAUCUUUUAACUUUGAUAUUAUUAUUAUAAGCAGGGAUAAUGUCAUCUUUGGCAUCUGUACUUUUAUAAAAUGUCUAGUGGUACAAGUACUUUGAAAAUAUAUAAUGUGGUACCUGAACUAUCAAUAUGUGUUAUUAUUAUGGUACAUGUACUUUGAAAAUGUUUAAUGUGGUACCUAAACUAUCAAUAUAUAUUUUAUUAUGAUACUUGAUAAAGAUGGACUAUUAUUGGUAGCUUAAGGGGCUCUUUGUCCCGCCAUCCCUGCAAAAAAAAAAUUGGAGAAUUUUGUUUUUUCCUUUAAAAUUUUUAGAAAAUUUCAAUUAAGCCCUCAAAAUUUUUGAAAAUUUUCAUUAUACCUUUUAAUUUUUUAAAAAAUUUUAAUUAAGCACUCUUAAAUUUUGAAAAUUCUCAUUAAUCUCACAAAAAUUUUAAUUUUUUUAAAAAAAAUAUUAUUAAACCAUUAAAUUUUUAGAAAAUUUUACCUGCCCCCUCCCCCAAAAAAAAACCUAGUCCCAACCCCUAGGAUCCGCCAUUGGUACUUGGUAUUAACACUGUUAGAAAAUUGCUAAAUAAACCAAUGAAAAUUUGACACAUAGAACCCUUUUUUUAAUUAUCAAGUCCACGUGGAUAAAAUAAUAGUGAAAAACUAAAUAAAACAAUAAUUAAAUGAAAUAAAAAAACAAAUAACUAAACAUAUGGUUAAUAAAAAAAAGCCGUACUUUCAAAGAUAAUAAAAAAUAUUAUUUAAAAAUCAAUUGAAAAUAUUAUUUUAAAAGGAAAACUCUUUGGAGAAGAUGAUCAUUUGCUUAAAUGGAGAAUAUAAUAUUUUUGGUUAUGCAAGUUUAGUAUUUACUUCUUUUUUAUUAAUCAUAUGUUUAGUUUUUUUAAUUAAUUUAAUUGUUUUAUUUAGUUUUUCACAUAAUGUUAUUUUACACAUGCGGACUUGAUGAAUUAGAAAAAAAUAUUACGUGUUAAAUUUUCAUUGGUUGGUCUAAUAAUUCAUUAACGGUGGAUUUGUUCUACAUUGAUGACAAAGAUGUGGAGUUUAAAGAAGUAAGAACUUAUCAACAAUAUUCGAGGUUCUGUUGUAUGUUGCCUUAUUAAAGAAGUCUUCACUUAAAAUCUUCUAUGUUGCCUUAUGUAUGUAGGUUCUUGAGUCACCUUUGCCAAAAGCACCACAUGAUACAUCUGUUACAUCCCACUGGCUUGCGAUUUAAGGCAUUCAACCAGUAAUUCCAGAAAAUGCUUCAAUUGAAGGUACCGUCUUAGCUAACCUAAAUAUUCUCUCGAAGCUAUUUGUGUUGAAGACUCUCAUGGUUCAUGUUCUUUUCUGGUUUUAUCACUUUAAUCUAAUACGAGUUAUCUUCAUUUCUACAUGGAAUUGGUAUUUUGCUUUCCAUGCAGCACCUUCUGAUGGUAAAAAGGCUGAAUACAAAGAAGAUGGGCUUUCCGUUGAUGUCAAAUUAUUUGUUAAACAUGUAUUAUCUAGAGAGCUUCAAGUAUGUUGUACAUCUUCAGCAACAUUUUUAUGUUAAAAUACAUUUUGCACAGAAUGAUAUUAAAAGACUAAUUUGGUUGUCAUGCAGCUUUACUUUGACAAGAUCGUGGACAUUACCAUGAAUAAAUCAGUAUCAAUUCUCUUUAAACAAGCAUUACUGAGUUUGGCAACAGACUCGGGAUUACAUCCUUUAGUUCCUUAUUUUACAUAUUUCAUUGCGGAUGAGGUUGUCUUAAAGAUCUUUCAUACCUCAUUAUAUAUGUGUGUUGCAAAGAACUUUUGGUUGGUUAUCUCAAGCUUACAUUUUUGCCACAUUUAUCUCAGGUUGCACGGAAUUUGAAUAAAUUCCCUCUCAUGUUUGCUUUGAUGCGUGUUGCCCGGAGUCUUCUCGAGAAUGAACACUUACACAUAGAACCUUACGUGAGUUUAUUAUUUCAAUCAUUUAGAAGUACACGAACUAAUGCAAAUAUGCUAGUGGUUUAUUUUCCACCUAUCUGAUUUUUUAAAAUGUUCUUCAGUUACACCAGUUGAUGCCAUCUAUUAUUACCUGCCUUGUUGCAAAAAGGUUAGGAAAUAAAUUCACCGACAAUCAUUGGGAACUUAGAAACUUUGCAGCAAAGCUAGUGGCAUCAAUAUGCAAAAGGUGAAGAUUUCUUUUCUUUUGGACUUAUACAUGCAUAUUCGUUUUUAUGAAUUUCAGGUGUCGAGUUUUUAGUUAUAAACUUGGACCUAUUCUUCAAAUCAUGUGUAUAUCAUUUUUAUGCUAUUUCACACAUGCAAAACAAAUGGUGCAAGCAUGCAUGUUAUAUGCACAGAAUUGUUGAAAGCUGGACUGCAAUGCAACAUGGAGCCAGAAGCAUGCAACUGUCGAGACCAGCAGCUAUCAAGCUCAGCUCAUUUUGCUUGGAGCGCACGAAUGGUUUUUGGACCAAAUGAAGCAACUGACAUUGCUGUUUUGUUUUGAUGUAAUUUAGUUCAGUUUGAUUGUAACUAGCUUUAAUAGUUAGUAGGAUUAAGUUAGUGAUUAGAUAGCUGAUGUAAAAGCUGAUAUGGCAGCUCAUUUUGUAUUUGACUUUAACUUAUUUUGGUUGUAAAUUAGUGGAUGCAGUUAGAUUAGUAGGUAACUAUCAAAUGAACAAAUUGUAACUCCUUUUUAUUUCAAAAAAUUUUGGAUGAAACGUAAUAAUGUUCAGUUACAAUUCUGGCUGUACAUUCAAGUUUCUUGCUUGCUGCUCUGCUUGUUUUUCUUUUCUGCUUCGUUUACUCUUGCUUCUGCUUGCAAAUCUCUUUGUUGCUGCUGCCAUUGUUCCAACAAGAAUACAUAGAUUAAUUACGUGUGGAUCAUUAAGAAUGCCUAUGUAUUGGAAAUUGGCCAACCAUGCUGCUGUUACAUUUUGUGUUGAAGUGCAUGCAGCUUGAUGACAUGCUGCAGCACAUAUGCUUGCUGUAACAGCAAGGUUUCUCUUUAGUUUCAUCCUAAUUAAACUAGUUGAAAAUGAACAAGUUGAUGACAACUUGAUGCAUGAGGUGUUGAAUGAUUAGUUUAGGUGGCUUGUUUAUGUGUACAAGCAAUGUUUUAAUAGUCCCAAUGCUGAUUAGUGGGGUUAGUUGACUAUUUGGUGAUGUAUUUGACUAUAAAUGUAUGUUUUUUUUCGUUGAAUGAAUGAGCUGAAUAAGCUAUCAGCCAUAUGCUCCCUUGCUGCACAUUUGUGAGCAAGUAAAAAUACUUCUUGCAUCUUGCUUCAUUGUUCUGUGCUCUCUGUUCUCUUCUUUUGCUGCUGCCAAUGCUCCAACACUAUGUUUGACCAUUGUGUGUGGCUACUUUUUUUUUACAUGAUCCAAUUUUCGAUAUGAUAUGCUUUGCUUUUAGGUUGAAUGCGGAAAAGAUUAGAACUUAAUUUCCAGCAUAAUGAUUUGUCUUGGAUAUGCAGAUUUUUACAUGCAUUUCUUAAAAGUCAAUAUUUUAUAGAUUCGGGCAUGUUUAUCACAACCUUCAGCCACGUGUGACAAGGACACUGCUCCACGCUUUUUUGGACCCAACGAAAACAUUUCCCCAGCAUUACGGAGCAAUUCAAGGGUUAGCAUGUUAGAAAUCAAACCCACUCCAAGCAUAAUCUAGAAGCAUGAGACGUGGAGCAAUUUUGUGCCAUGCAAAGUGCUGAAAUUUUAGCCAUACAAAGUGCUCCAUUAUUGAGAUGUUUUGUGGCUGGAAAUUAAGUGGAUUAAUAGCCACAUUUGUUGUCACUUUAUCAGCCUAUAAAUAGAGGCUUGAACUUGUGUUGUAAAAAAGAAGAAAAAUGAGAAGAAAAAAGAAAUAAGAGAAGCAACGUGAGUGAGAGUGAGAAGGUUAGCAAACCUUGAGUGAGUUAAAAUCUAGCAGCAGCUAGACUAUCUAGUCAUUGAGAAAAUAUUUGUAAUCUUCGUAUUGUAAUAUAUUGAGUGUGUAAUAAAAAGUAAAUUUUCGGCCCAUCACGUUUCCAACAAGUGGCAUCAGAGCUACGGUUCGGAGCUUGGUUCGGAGUUCGGUUCGUGUCCGGUUCGUGUCCAGUUCGGAGUACCUUUGGUGUUCAUCUAACAAGUCGAUAUGGGCGACGUAAUUCAGCUACAAGUUCCACAAUUGACGAAGACAAAUUAUGGAAAUUGGAGCAUUCGAAUGAAGGCUUUGCUCGGUUCGCAAGAUUGUUGGGAGAUCGUUGAAAAAGGAUACAUCGAGCCCGGAGAUGCCGCUACAGAAGCAGCUUUAUCAAAUGACGCUAAGAAGGCGUUACGAGAAGCACGAAAGAAGGAUCAAAAGGCCUUGAAUAGUAUCUUUCAAGGUAUGGAUGAAUCAACCUUCGAGAAAAUAUCAGAUGUGAAGAACGCGAAGAAUGCAUGGGAGAUUUUGCAAAAAUCAUUUCAAGGUGUAGAAAAAGCUAAAAAGGUACGCCUUCAGUCACUUAGAGCUGAAUUUGAAAUGUUAAAAAUGAAGAGCUCCGAGAAUAUCGAUGACUAUGCCAAUCGUGUAAAAUCGGUGGUAAAUGAAAUGAAACGAAAUGGAGAAACUCUUGACGAGGUAAGAAUGAUGGAGAAAAUUCUACGGUCACUCACACGCAAAUUCGAGUACGUAGUCGUUGCCAUCGAAGAAUCAAAAGAUUUGUCAAAGAUGUCGCUCGAAGAACUUGUGGGUUCUCUGCAAGCCCAUGAGCAAAAGAUGAAGCUAAAUGAAGAUAGUGAAAAUCUUGAUCAAGCCUUGCAUAGCAAGUUGUCCGUCGACGACGGAGAAACAAGUAAUAACUUUAACCAAGGAAGAGGAAACCGCAGAGGAUACCGUGGAGGCUACCGUGGUGGAAACAGAGGAGGAAGAGGAUCACGAGGACGUGGAAAUCAAUCAUAUGGGAGAUAUCAAGAAAAUAAAGAUUAUCAAACAUCCAACCGUGGACGUGGAUCUAGAGGUCGUGGCCGAGGCAGAUUUCAAGAAAAUAAAUCUCAGGUACAAUGCUACAACUGUAACAAGUAUGGACAUUUCAGUUACGAGUGCAGAUCAACACACAAAGUGGAUGAAAGAAACCAUGUAGCAGUCAUAGCAGAAGGCAACGAAAAAGUGGAAUCAAGUGUCUUUCUCACUUACGGAGAAAAUGAAGAUCGCAAGAGAAGUGUGUGGUAUCUCGACAACGGUGCAAGCAACCACAUGUGUGGAAGAAAGGAGCUGUUCACAGAAUUAGAUGAAACAGUUCAUGGACAAAUAACUUUUGGAGACAACUCACAUGCAGAAAUCAAAGGAAAGGGCAAGGUUGUUAUAACACAAAGGAAUGGAGAGAAGAAGUACAUCUCAGACGUUUACUACGUACCAGCUUUGAAGAGCAACCUGAUCAGUCUUGGUCAACUCCUAGAAAAAGGAUAUGAAGUUCAUAUGAAAGACCGCUCACUCGCCAUCAGGAACAAAAGUGGAGAAUUAGUUGUUCGAGUUGAUAUGACGCGAAAUCGUCUUUUCACCCUCGACAUCGAGUCUGGAGAAGUAAAAUGCAUGAAGACGGAUCUGAAGAAUGAAUCAUGGUUGUGGCACUUAAGGUACGGACAUCUCGGAUUUUCUGGCUUGAAGCUGUUGUCGAAGACAAAUAUGGUGAAUGGAUUACCAAGUAUUAAUCAUCCAGAUCAACUGUGUGAAGCCUGUGUCAAAGGAAAGUAGCAUAGGCAGAAAUUUGAAGUAGGAAAAUCUCGAAGAGCUAGAAGACCAUUGGAAAUUGUACACACCGACAUAUCUGGUCCGUACGACAUUGAAUCACUCGGUGGAAACAGGUACUACCUAACUUUUAUUGAUGAUUAUAGCAGAAAAUGUUGGGUUUAUUUUCUCAAAGCAAAAUCGGAAGCCCUAGAAAAAUUCAAGGAGUUCAAAGCAAUGGUGGAAAAACAGAGUGGUCGAUAUUUGAAGAUACUCAGAUCCGAUAGAGGAGGCGAGUAUACUGCAAAGCUUUAUGAAAGUUUCUGCAAAGAUCAUGGAAUCAUUCAUCAGUUAACAGCCAGACGCACUCCACAACAAAACGGAGUUGCAGAAAGGAAGAAUCGGACAAUUCUGGAUAUGGCAAGAAGCAUGAUAAAAGGUAAACACCUUCCGAGAAAUUUCUGGGCUGAAGCCGUUGAAUGCGCAGUUUAUCUGUUGAAUCAAUGUCCAACAAAAAGUGUAAGACACAAGACACCAGAAGAAGCAUGGAGCGAUCACAAGCCAAGAGUUGGACACCUCAAAAUUUUUGGAUGCAUUGCAUAUGCACACGUUCCUGAGCAACAGAGGAAAAAGCUUGACGAUAGAGGAGAGAAGUGUAUCUUUAUAGGCUAUGACAAAAGAAGUAAGGCCUACAGACUUUAUAAUCCUCUUACUAAGAAAUUGAUUAUCUCAAGAGAUGUCGAGUUCGAUGAAGCGGAUUACUGGAGAUGGAGUGAAGAAGAAAAGAAAGUGGAAGGAUUAUUUUUCAACGAAGACGACAAUGAUGUCAUCAACCAAGAAGAACAAGGCGAUGAUCAAAGUCCUGGUACAACAGCCCCUUCGUCACCAACCAGCAGCAGCGGAAGCAGCAGCUCAGAUGAAGCACCCACAAGAACACGGAGUCUCAACGACAUCUACAAUUCUACGGAACCUGUAGAGACGCAGUUCGAUUAUUCACUAUUCUGUCUAAUGACAGAAUGUGAUCCAGUGACAUACGAAGAAGCAAUUGAAGACAAUAAAUGGAAGAAGGCCAUGGACGAGGAGAUUGCUGCAAUAAGAAGGAAUGACACGUGGGAGCUAACAAGUCUGCCAGAAGGACAUAGCCCGAUUGGUGUCAAGUGGGUGUACAAGACGAAGACCAACAAAGAAGGAAAAGUAGAGAAAUACAAGGCAAGACUAGUCGCCAAAGGCUACAAGCAAAGACAAGGAGUGGACUAUGAUGAAAUAUUUGCUCCAGUCGCAAGAAUAGACACAAUUAGGCUUCUCAUAGCGGUCGCAGCACAAUACAAAUGGAAAAUCUAUCAGAUGGACGUCAAGUCUGCAUUCCUGAAUGGCUACUUGGAGGAGGAAGUCUACAUAGAACAACCACCUGGAUAUAGCAUACAAGGAAAGGAGGACAAAGUCUACCGAUUAAAGAAAGCUUUGUAUGGAUUGAAGCAAGCCCCAAGAGCAUGGAACACAAGGAUCGACGAGUACUUCCGAAGAAAUGGAUUCAUCAAAAGCCCGCACGAGCACACCCUGUACACAAAGAAGAAUGGAUAUGGAGAUAUCAUGAUCGUAUGCCUAUAUGUGGAUGACAUGAUCUUCACCGGAAACAAUCCAGGUAUGUCUGAUGAUUUCAAGAAAGCUAUGACUAAAGAAUUUGAAAUGACAGAUAUCGGUGAGAUGUCAUACUUUCUUGGAGUCGAGGUGAAACAAAUGCAAGAUGGAAUUUUUGUCUCUCAAAAGAAGUAUGCGGAGCAGAUUUUGAACAAGUUCAAAAUGAAGGAUUGCAAGCCAGUAGUCACGCCAGCUGAUCCAGGGAUGAAGCUAAGUGUUGAUUCGACAAGGGAGUCGAUAAAUCCGACGUUGUUUAAAAGUCUCGUUGGAAGUUUAAGGUAUUUGACAAUCACACGACCAGAUAUUACAUAUGCAGUAGGAUUGGUGAGCAGAUUCAUGGAGAAGCCGAAGCAAGACCACUUAAUUGCCGCAAAAAGAAUUUUGAGAUAUAUCAAAGGUACGAUGAACCAUGGUUUAUUCUAUACCCACUCACAAGAUUCAAAAUUAGUUGGCUACUCAGAUAGCGAUUAUGGGGGAGACUUGGAUGAUCGGAAAAGCACUUCCGGAUAUGCAUUCCACAUCAAUUCCGCAGUUUUUUCAUGGUCGUCAAAGAAGCAACAAACAAUUGCUCUCUCAACAUGUGAAGCAGAGUAUAUGGCCGCAGCAACUUGUACAUGCCAAGCAAUGUGGUUGAAGAAUAUUUUGGGAGAAAUAGGUGUUUCAAAUGAAGGUCCAAUUACCAUCUACGUUGACAACAAAUCCGCUAUAUCACUUGCCAAGAAUCCGGUGUCGCACAGCCGAAGCAAGCACAUCGAUACGAAGUAUCAUUUUAUCCGAGAGCAAGUGAAAAACAAAAACGUGGAGUUGGUCCAUUGCAGGACAGAAGAUCAACUGGCAGAUAUUUUCACAAAGCCGUUGAAAGUGGAGACAUUCAACAAAUUCAAAGAGAAGCUCGGUAUGAAAGUUGGGUUUGAGGGGGAGUGUUAGAAAUCAAACCCACUCCAAGCAUAAUCUAGAAGCAUGAGACGUGGAGCAAUUUUGUGCCAUGCAAAGUGCUGAAAUUUUAGCCAUACAAAGUGCUCCAUUAUUGAGAUGUUUUGUGGCUGGAAAUUAAGUGGAUUAAUAGCCACAUUUGUUGUCACUUUAUCAGCCUAUAAAUAGAGGCUUGAACUUGUGUUGUAAAAAAGAAGAAAAAUGAGAAGAAAAAAGAAAUAAGAGAAGCAACGUGAGUGAGAGUGAGAAGGUUAGCAAACCUUGAGUGAGUUAAAAUCUAGCAGCAGCUAGACUAUCUAGUCAUUGAGAAAAUAUUUGUAAUCUUCGUAUUGUAAUAUAUUGAGUGUGUAAUAAAAAGUAAAUUUUCGGCCCAUCACGUUUCCAACAUAGCAUCCCUUGGACCCAGUGUGGUAUAAUUCUAAUCUCAAAUAUUUACUAGCAACACAAUAAGAUACUGGUUUGUGGGAUCAAUUGGUCAAAGAUAUUGCAAUGAUAGCCAUCUUUUUAAGUCCAUUUCUUUCAGAAAACUGUUUUGUCACUCUUUUCUGCAAGAUCCGAAGAAAGAAAGAACUUGGAAAUCUAUAGUCCAAAAGUGUAAAUAUGCGGUUUCUCUAUAGGUAUCUUUAUUAUGGCAUCUGUAAAGUUUGUCUUUCAUAUGUUUGAGUAACGCUUCUUCUUCCAUAUGUAGGUUCGUUUACUUAUACUACCAAAUCUUGAAGCGUAUUUGCAGCUUUUUGAACCUGAAAUAAAAAGACACGAGGCCUGGUGUGUUUAUGGGGCACUGCUGGUAAGUUUAACAUCAAAUUUGGUACCAGUUUAUGAGCAUCGUUUCAUUUAUUUGCUGUAGAACUAACAACACUGCAUAAAAUUUCCACUAACAGCGUGCAGCUGGACUGUGCAUGUAUGAUCGGCUUAAAAUGUUACCCAGUUUGCUAGCACCCUCAACUCGUCCCGUCUGGAAAAGCAACACCAAAGUUGCGACAAGUAUGAUUUCUUCGAACCAUCAUAUUUACACUUAAUCCACAAAUCUCUUCUCCCCCUUUACGAUAUUCCUUUUUCUGAUCAAUCAAGAUAAACGAAAAGCAAGCACGGACACCUUGAUGCAGCAGCAACCAACUGCCAAGAAAAUAGCAACUGAGAGUGCAAUAGGUAUGAUGCCGAUAAAUUCCAUGCAAACUGAUUUACAAGGGGCAGUUAGCGGCUUUUCUACCACCGUAGGAGGUUCCAGUAUCUGUGUAUCAUCAAUGUCACGGCCGUUAUCAAACGAUAACAUGCUUGGAAGGGAGGUUGGGGGUCGAGUUUCAAAGACAUCAACCGUUCUAGCUCAGGCUUGGAACCGGGGAACUUGUUAGCAUCAUUAUUUGAACUUUUUGGUGAAAGUAUGUUAUCAUUUACUCCCAAACCUGAGCUUUCAUUCUUCCUUUGAUUAAAUUUCACCUCCAAAAGCUAUGGUUUUUGAAGGAAUUUGUGUAAUUAAUCCCCAUAGUUUUUUUCAGUCUUACUGUGUUUAUCUUUAUAAGUCUUCUUUCUUUUUUUUCCUUGCUCAUAAAUGUAUUGUAGUUAUCAAAAAAUAUAUUCUACUUUGGAUUUUAUUUAUAUUAAAUUUUACGUUAAAUUCUGCUAUUAGUCUCUGUACUUUACGAAAAUGAUGGAUUUAGUCCUUAUACCUUAAUUUGAUCAAUUUUAGUCAUUGUAUUUUUUGAAUUGGUCAAUUUUAAACUAUCUACCUUUUAAAUUUUGAAAUUUUAGUCUUGACCCAAAUAAUAAUAAUAAUAAUAAUUAAAUCUGCUUAUUUAAAUUCAAUUAUUAGUUUUGUAUUAUGUAGACAGAUAUAGAUUUAAUCCAUAUUUUUCAAUUGGGUCAUUCCAAGUCUUUAUACUUUUCAAAUUUUGAAAUUUCAAUAUUGAUGCAGAACGAGAGUUGUUAUUAAUUAAUUGAUUAUUUAGCAAGUAUAUGUAGAAAUAACAAGUUGGCAUGUCAUUAUACUUAAAAAAAUAUAUUGGCUUAACCCACCUAAAUUAUGUCUUUUUUUCCAUCUUCGGACCUCAAUUUUUUUAGGGUCAUAAGUGGUACCUAAACUACUUUUUUUCUCCUUCAAAUUAGUAUCUUCAUUAGUUAAACCGUUAAGUCUAUUUAAAAAAGAAAGACUCGAACAACAAAUUAAUACCUAAAACAAUGCUCUUUUUCCCAAUGUAUCUAAUUUUUAUUUUGGCCAUAAGUACUACUAAAACUAUUCUUCCGUUACUCGUUUUACACAAAAUGUUAUAUCGGCUAAAAAGAUUGCAACAAAUAAUAGAUUGUAUGUCAUAUAAACUUUUAAAAAUAAUUAUUAAUUAAUUAUUUUUUAUAUUUUUCUUUCUUAUUCCUUUAUAAUGUUUGACAAUGCCGAUAAUGUUUGAAAUUGGCCCACUUGAGGUCGAAACGCUGGUGAUUAAUUUUGGUUUUGAAUUUCACCACCUAUUUCUCUGACCUGAGGGGAUAAAAAAUGUUCUUUCAUUGAUCAAAACUAGUGUUUUCAAAAACAGACUGAUUCAACCGGAAAUAGGGGUUGAAUCAUUGACUUGCGAGCAAAAACAAAUCAGUUGAACUAAGCUAAAAAAAACUAGUUGAACUAGUUCUCUCUAUUUAUAUAUAUAAAAAUAAUAAUAGUCUUUUUUUUAUUACAUGUCAAUUUUUAUUUGGUUAUUUUUUUUUCAUAUAAACUGAACGGUUUGACUAAUGACGGAGGUACCAAAUUAUAGUCUAGGUACCAAUUUAUGGGUUAAGCCUAUUUCUAAAAUAGACUUUUGACUAAUGGCGGUAGUAACUUGGGAAAAAAAAGUAGUUUAUGUACCACUUGUGACCAAAAAUAAGUUUAGGUACCAACAUCGUAAAAUGAGUAUAAUUUAGAUACCGAUUUAUGAGUUAAGCCUAAUAUAUUUGUCGCAUCAUUUUUUAAAAAUAACAGAACUUAAUAAAUUUAACGAUUAUUGUUUGAUGAUGACUAAAAUUUUAAAAUUUGAAAAGUACAUGAACUAAAAAUGACCAAAUUAAAGUAUAAAGAUUAAGUCCACAACUUUUGCAAAGUACAAGGACUAAUAGCAGAAAUUAACCUAAAUUUCAUAUGGGUCAAUUACAAAAAUAAUCACUAAGCUAUUCCUUUGGUUCUAUUCUAGUCAUUCAACUAUAGAGGUGCUCAUGAGUUGGGCCAGGUCAGGCCUAAGGAUGAUAUUAACGUACUUUAUACUUGCUCAAGCUUGGCUCGGCCCGAAAUAUGAGCUUAAAUUUUCACCUAAACUCAUCCAUAUUUGCAAAAGACUAACGCAAGCUCAUUUUAGGCAUGCUUAUAUAAUUUUUAGUUUUUGUUUAAAUAUUUAUAUUAUAUUAUUUUAAUAUUUAAUAAUUUAAACAUUUUUUAUUUAUUGAAAAUUUUUAUAUAGUCAUCUAAUUAACAUUAUUUUAAUGUUUACAUUAUAGUAUUAUUAUAUAUUUAAUAUAAGUUUAUUUUUUAAUCUGUUCUAAAUUUUAUAAUAUAAAGUAUUAUACACUUAAAAAUGGGCCGGGCUGGGCUCGAGCUUUGAAUGUUCAAGCCUGAACCCAGCCCAAAUUUUAAACGGGCCUAUUUUUUUUUUACCCAAACCUAAUUUUUGGGCCUAAUAUUUUUAUCCAGACCCUCCCAAAUUUUUGGACCUUGCCAAGUAGCCCAACUCAUUAACAAGUUUACUCAACUAUUAAUUUUUUCGAUUUAGUUGUUAACCUUUUCGAAAGUAAAUAUUUUAGUCACUCUCCUGUUAGUUGUUGCUAAAUGAGUGACGGAAAGCUAAUGUGGGUUUUUUUUAUUAGUCUAAUAACAAAUUUAGCCCUAAAUGUUAACAAAACUUGUCAUUUUAGUUCAAAUUCUAAAAAUUUUAAUAAAUUUAACCCUUAAUAUUUUCAAAAAUUAGCAAUUUAGUUCUAAUUCUAAAAAUUUUAAUAUAUAUUUAAAAAAAUAUUUUUAAUCCUCUGUCUCACCCUUUGAUUUUUUUAGAUGAGCUAAAAUCAAAACAUAUCGUUAUAUCUUUUUGUUUUAAUGCUAAAAGAGAUAAAAAAAAUGAAAAGCUAAAAUGACUUUUCGUUUGUAAAGUUAAAAAAUGCUAAAUAAAUCAUUAUGUCUUUUUAGUUUUAAUUUUUUACUUGAUUAAAAGAGAAAUAAUUAACGAAUAAAAAAUAAUUAUUCCCAAAUAAAUUUAUCAAAAUUUAUAAUAAAUGAGAUUUUGAAUUUAUCAAAAUAUAUAUAAGUAUACACAUUUUUAUGAAAUAUAAGAUUUUGCUAAAAGAAAAAGCAUACAAAAGUAUACACCUUUUUAUGAAACACAAGAUUUUGCUAAAAGAAAAAUAUAUGGUAAAAGGAAGACUAAGUGGUGGUUAAAAAAUACAAAAAAUUUUGAAAAUCUAAUAUCCAUAACUUUUCAAUGUAAAAGAAAAACAGACUGUAACACCAAUGUUGUGGUUUUAUUUGUUGCCUAUAAAUGCCAUUCCUAUCCUUCAUCUUCCUCUACCAACAUAACAUGGCCUCCUAUCUCUUUCUCUGCCUAUUCCUCUUCUUUCCCCAUCUUUAUGCUUCUUUUUCUUCUUCAGGAUCUCACUCCUGCUCUUCACUAACCCAGUUCAAGAAUUCUUUUUCCAUCACUCAGACAGAGGGUGCUUCUUUGUCUUGCAAUGAGAUUGCUGGCCUUAAAUCUUAUCCCAAGACAAAUUCAUGGAAGGAGGGUACAGAUUGCUGCUCAUGGGAUGGGGUCACUUGUGACCACCUAAAUGCUCAUGGUAUUGCCCUUGACUUGAGCUGCAGUUGGCUAUAUGGCAACUUCCCUCCCAAUACCACUCUCUUCCUUCUUCCUCACCUUCAAAAACUCAACCUUGCCUUCAAUGAUUUUAAUCUUUCCAAAAUUCCAUCCGAGUUCGGUGGGUUUACAAGCCUAUUCUACCUCAACCUUUCUCAUACAGGGUUUGCAGGACAAGUCCCAUCCCAAGUCUCCCACCUGUCAAAAUUGGUUUCACUUGAUAUCUCCUCUUCGAUUUAUGACUAUGAGAAAUUUACAAUUGACAAACAUGCUCUGGAGGGACUUGUUCACAACCUAUCCGAGGUCAGACAUCUGUUUUUGGAUGGAAUGGACAUGUCUUCUGUUAAUGCUCAUGUCUUCAUGAAUCUAUCCUCUUCUCUAAGGUCUCUCAGUCUUGCUUAUUGUGAUUUGCAAGGAAAAUUCCCAAAAAACAUUUUUGAUUUGCCAAACCUCAAUCUCCUCAACUUGGGAAGCAACCCAAUCCUCAGUCUUGAUCCUUUGAAGUUGAAUCGGAGCAGCAAUCUUGAACAUUUGGAUCUGUCGUCCAUGUCCUUCUCUACAGAAUUCAUUGAUUCAGUUGAUAAUCUACAGGCCUUAAAGUACUUAGAUCUAUCAGGACAUUUUUUCUCUCAACGAUUGUCUGUCUCAAAAACAAAAUCGGGGUACUUGUUUACUGGAGACGCAAAUUUUUUUGGAGGAUUGCCUGACUCGAUGGGGAAUCUUGUGUCUUUGAAGUUUUUAGAUCUCUCCUAUUCCAACUUAUCAGGAACGGUUCCAAGAUCACUGGGGAAUCUCUUGCAACUCACUCAUUUAGACUUGUCGGGGAACCAAUUUAGUGGACAAAUUCCAUCGUCAAUUCUAAACCUAACGCAGUUGGAAUACUUGAAAAUAUCUGAAAAUUCAUUAGAAGGUUCCAUUCCAGAUGAGGUAACCGCUUUUCCUAAUUUAAUAUAUUUAUACUUAGAUAACAAUUUACUUAAUGGAAUACUUCCGUCAUGGUUGUAUACUGCUCCCCCCUUAAAGAGAAUAGAUCUCUCUAAAAAUCAAUUCAGUGGACAUAUCAAAGAAUUCCAAUCCAAAUCACUAGAAUUGAUAUGGUUAGAGAAUAAUAAACUCCAAGGUCCUCUUCCAUCUUCAAUAUUCCAACUUCUCAAUCUUACCGGACUCAAGUUAUCCUCAAAUAAUCUUAGUGGUGUCAUAGAGUUUAGCAUGUUCUCAAACCUUCCAAAUCUCGAAUAUCUUGACCUUUCAUAUAACAGCCUAUCCUUAACAUCUAAUACUACUUCUACUGUUAAUCUUACAAGCUUAUUUUUGUCAUCUUGCAAUCUUAGUGAAUUCCCCCAAUUUUUGAAAGGGCUUAAAAGUUUGGAAAGCUUAGACCUCUCUUGCAACAAAAUUGAAGGCAAGAUUCCACAGUGGAUGCAAGAGGUGGGGAAUGGCUCUUUGACUUACUUAAAUGUAUCUCACAACUCUUUGACAGAAGUUGAGCACUUUCCAUGGAAUAAUAUUGCAGUUCUUGACUUAAGCUCCAAUUUGAUCCGUGGAAAUCUUCCGAUUCCAGCUUCGACCAUAAGAGUCUUUUUGAUCUCAAAUAAUAGUUUCAAUGGAGAGGUCUCUUCUUUAAUAUGCAAUGCCACUUAUCUUCAAAUUCUUGAUUUGUCCCACAAUUACUUGAGUGGAUCAAUUCCGCAAUGUUUUGGAAAUUUGAGCUACUGGCUUGAAUUCUUGAAUCUGAAGAAGAAGUUUUAUGGGACGAUUCCUCCAGCAUUCGCAAAGGGAUGCCAAUUGAGUAAUUUCAACUUAAAUGGAAAUCUGUUAGAAGGGCCUUUGACACCAUCCAUCCUUAAUUGUAGAGGUCUGGAAGUGCUAGAUCUUGGUAACAACAAGAUCAAUGAUACAUUUCCUCAUUGGUUGGGCAGUCUUCCAUUUUUGCAAGUUCUUGUAUUGAAGGCUAUCAUAAAUCUAGAGAAGAUUGGGAGUACAAUGUCGUACAUGGGGGUGAAUUGUCCUGGAAGUGGCUUCUAUACCUAUUCCAUUGGAAUUGUUAUGAAAGGACAAGAUAUGGACUUGGUGAAAAUUUUCACCAUGUGGAUGAUCAUUGAUCUAUCAAACAAUCAGUUUGAAGGGGGUAUUCCAGAGGUUUUUGGGAAGCUUAACUUACUGAAAGGGCUCAACCUUUCUCAUAAUAACCUUAAUGGUGGUAUCCCCACCUCAAUAGGGAAUUUGACAAGUCUUGAAUGGUUGGACCUAUCUUCAAACAGGUUGUCUGGGACGAUUCCAAAUAGAUUGGCAGAUCUGCCAUUUCUUUCGUCCUUCAAUGUUUCUGAAAAUAAACUCCAUGGUCAGAUUCCUCAAGGCAAACAGUUAAACACAUUUGGAAAUGAUUCAUAUGAAGGAAACAAGGGAAAAUAAACUCCAUGGUCAGAUUCCUCAAGGCAAACAGUUCAACACAUUUGGAAAUGAUUCAUAUGAAGGAAACAAGGGAUUAUGUGGAUUUCCGGUCUCAAAAGGUUGCAACAUCAUUGAGCCACCACCUCCAAAUGUGCUUGAAAAAGAUGGCUCAAAAUCAAACAUUACUUUUGGUUGGAAAGUGGUGUUGAUAGGUUAUGGAUGCGGAGUGGUGUUCGGAAUGUCCGUGGGAUAUGUUGUUUUCCAAACUGGUAAGCCGAAAUGGUUGGUGAAUUUGUUGAAAUCCAACAUGAGAAGAAGCGAAGAAGAAAGUCAAAGGAUGGCAGUCGCAGAAAUGGACGAAGAAGGAUCUAGUUAGUGGAAAUGAUGUUCAAGUGUUGAUGUUGUAUCUUCAUAAUUUCUUGUUUUGAAGUCUUUCAAUUUUUUUCCUAUGGUGAAAGGUUGCAUUGGCAUGCAUCUGUCUUUGUUAUUGUGACAAUUCAUCUAUAUUUCAUUGCAUUACAUAGUAUUUGUAAGGGUUUGUUUUAAAUGUAACAUUUUGUAUGGUUCAACUAUUUAUGUCUUCUUUCAUGACUUUCAUUUUUGAGUCUCAAUAAUCUCUGCAUUCAAGAUUUUGUCAGCUUAUUAAUUGGUAAAAAUUAUAUGAAUAAACUUUUAUAAAUAUAAAUAUGAAUAAACUUUUAUAAAUAUAAAGUGUAAUUUAUGAGUCGAGUUAUUCAAUAAGAAAAAAAAACCCUCAUUUCAAUGUUCAAUAUAUAUGAAAUUCUACAAAAUUAAUUUCUUCUAAUAUUUUUACUUUUUGUGAUUAAGUUUAAAAUACUUUUCAAUUACUAAAUCUUAGUCCGAGCCAACCUAUUGGCUCGACUAACUAUUUAGAAAAUAUAAUAUGUUUAUAUUAAAAAUUUUAUAUUUAAAUAAAAAUUCAAGACGAGUUGUCUAGAAUUUGUGAAAAUGCUGUCCACGACCUAGCACAUAUUGGACAAUCCUAUUGAACUAGGUAGGUAGUGUGAGCUUGCCUUGAAAGUGCUAAUAAAUCCAAUUGAGUCAAGACUUAAGACUUCUUAUUCAACUUUAGACCCAAAUUGGGUAAUCAUAUUAGACGGAUAGUUUGAUACUUAAAUAUAUCUAAUCACAAUAUAUAUAAUUAAAUGAGCAAACAUAAAACCUUGGUUCUAAAACUCCAUGCUUCCUCUUUUGUUAACUUUAUGUUUAACUCUUCGGCCAACUUUUUCAAAUGUUGUAAGGUUCCCACUGUCAGUAUUAUACCAUUUUGAUCUCCACUAUUACAUUAUAAUCAUAUUAAAAAAAUAAAAAAAAUAGAAAAAAAUCAGUCAAAUGGCAUGAUAAUUUCUUUUCAAAAUUGUUCACUUUGAUUCUUCAUACAUAUUUAACUUAUUUCAAGAAAGUAUUGGAAAAAAUUAUGGCAUACAAAUAUAAUACUAACCUGAAUAUUGUAAUGGGAAUGGCUUGUUGAAGAAGGUUUUUAAGUGCAGGGAGCAUGUCAAGGUCCUUAUCAGCUUCGUUGUAUUUAAAAUUAGUUCUAAAAAAAUAAGAGUGAAAUAUAAUGAAAAUUUUAAGGCUAGCAAUUUUUACACGACAUUCACCUCAAUAAACAAGUAAUUUAUUUUAUUUUCUUAAGAAAUAGGUGACAAUAUAGAAAGAGAAAAAUUGACCGCGAGUUUUAAAACUUGAAUUUAAAAUAAUUUCUAAAAAGUAUUUAUAUGAAUAUAUUGGAAAAAAAGUUCAUCUUGUCUCAAAUUUUAGGGGAAAACUUACGUGAAAUAACCCUUCCAUCUAUAUGACAAGUUGGUUCGAAUCCCAUGGAAAGCUUUUUGAACUUCUGAAAGAAUAAAGUAAAAUUGCACUCUUAAUGGAAGACACAUGUCUACUUCUGUGCUAACUAUAAGAACCAAUACUAAAAAAUAAAGUUUUACGCUUUUGAUAUAACCAAUAAAAGAAAAAUAACACAAAAUCAAUUUUACUCAAUUGAUCAGUUAAUUCAAUUCUAUAGGAACUUAUGUUAUAUGUAGUUUCGAGUUGAAGUAAAAUAAGAGGAAUGUAAAGAACUAAAUGAAAACAUGUUUUCCCAAGUCCAAAUCUAGCUCAUUUUCAGCAUUAGGAGGGCGAAAGACAACAAAUAGCUUUUGUCAGGAGUAAUUAUGAGCAUUGGUCUUGAAAGUAGCCAAACCGGCCUCGAACUCAAGGUUUUUGCAUUUUGCGCUUCAAGUGGUUGCAGCAUCAAUGAGACACGACCUCCAAAUGUGCUGGAAAAGGAUGGCUCAAAAGCAAACAUUGCUUUUGGUUGGAAAGUGGUGUUGGUAGGUUAUGGAUGCCGGGUAGUGUUUGGAAUGGCCAUGGGAUGUGUUGUUUUCCAAACUGGUAAGGCAAAAAGGUUCGUGAAUUUGGUUGAAGACCAACAUGAGAAGAGGCGAAGAAGAAAGCCAAAAUAUAGCAAUAUCGCAUCAAUGGAUGAAGAAGGAUCUAGUUGGUUCAAAUGAAGUUAAAGCAUUUGUGCUGUGUCUGCAUAAUUUCUUGUUUAGUAGUCUGUCAGAAAGUUUUUCCUAUGGUGAAAAGUUGCAUUGGUAUGUGUCUGUUUUUAUGAUUGUACCAAUUCCUCUGUAUUUCAUUGCAUUUCGUACUAUUUGUAAGGAUUUAGUUCUAGUGUAACAUCUUGUAUGGUGCAACUAUGUAUGUCUUCUUUCUUGAAUUUCAAUUUUUAGUAAACAUUAUACUGCUCAACAUAAAAAAAAUACAUGUAGAAUUACAAAAGAUUCAAUUAUUCAAGUUCGAGUUGCAUUUAUAAACACGUGACGAUGAGAAUUCAUGAUGUGUUAUAAGCAAGAAGACUUUGUAAUCUCAUGAAUGUUAAUUAUUUUACUUCUUUGGUAAAAAAAAGUAAUCAAUCUUAUGAAUGAAAAAUAUAGGGUAAAGAGGAAGUAGUUGUUAACCUUUUCGAUUUAGUUGUUAACCUUUUCGAAAGUAAAUAUUUUAGUCACUCUCUUGUUAGUUGUUGUUAAAUGAGUGACCAAAAGCUGAUGUGGGCUUUUUUUAUUAGUCUAAUAACAAAUUUAGGCCUCCAAUGUUUACACAUUCUAUCAAUUUGAUCCUAGAUAUAAAAAAAAUCAACAAAUUUAGCCCUGAAUGUUAACAAAACUUGUGAUUUUAGUUCAAAUUCUAAAAAAUUUAAUAAAUUUAACCCUUAAUAUUUUCAAAAAUUAGCAAUUUAGUUCUAAUUCUAAAAAUUUUAAUAUAUAUAUAUUUUAAAAAAUAUUUUUAAUCCUCUGUCUCACCCUUUGAUUUUUUAGAUGAGCAAAAAUCAAAAUAUAUCAUUAUGUCUUUUUGUUUUAAAGCUAAAAGAGAUAAAAAAAAUGAAAAGCUAAAAUGACUUUUCGUUUGUAAAGUUAAAAAAUGCUAAAUAAAUCAUUAUGUCUUUUUAAUUUUAAUUUUUUACUUGAUUAAAAGAGAAAUAAUUAACGAAAGAAAAAUAAUUAUUCCCAAAUAAAUUUAUCAGGUUUUAGAUUUAAAUUAUGAGGCUAUAUAUAUAUAUAAGUAUACACAUUUUUAUGAAAUACAAGAUUUUGCUAAAAGAAAAAGCAUCCAAUUUUAAGAAUGAAAAAUAUAAAUCCUUUCAUUUUGAAUUGCAACUUUAUCCUGCCUAAAUUCCUCAACCAUGAACCACCCAUCAGGGCAGCCUCAAAAUGAACUUCCUUGGUCCGCCGGAUUCUGCGAUUGUUGCUCUGACCUGAAAACUUGUAACCCUUUCUUCUUUCUUCAAAAUCAGUUGUGUCAUUUUAAAUAUAUGAAUUAGUUUAUCAAUUAAAUAUAUGGACAUUUCAGGUUGCAUUUCAUACUGUUGCCCAUGCAUCACCUUUGGCCAGAUUGCUGAGAUUGUUGAUAAAGGGUCGACUUGUAAGUUAUUAAUUUCUAAAUUGAAAUCUUAUCAUCUUAGGUUUGCAGACAUAUAUAUAUUUAAAGAGAUAUUAUGUAAUUAAUAAUAAUGUUGAAAAACACUGUUGGAUGGUGCAGCAUGUGGGGCAAGUGGGGCAGUAUACACAUUAAUAAUGUUCAUCACCGGGUGUGGGUGCUUAUAUUCUUGCUGCUACCGAUCCAAACUGAGAAAGCAGUAUAACUUGAAAGGAGGCCAUUGUGGCGAUUGCAUGCGUCAUUUCUGCUGCGAGCCUUGUGCUUUGACACAAGAGUAUCGUGAGCUCCAGAACCGUGGAUUCGACAUGUCUAUCGGUAUGUCUACAUACCAAUAUUAUACCCCUUUUAAUUAUUCUUAAUAUAACUUCAAGUAUAUUAAUUGAGUAGCUGUAAACAAAUAUCUCCGAAUAAAUAUGUUAGUAAUGAUGAGAUAAAUUAUUGUUUGAGGUCAUUAAUUUUGUGGGGGUAUAUUUAUAUAUGCAGGUUGGCAUGCAAAUGUGGGAAGAACCCAGGGCUGGCAAUGGCUCCAGCGGUAGAAAAAGGCAUGAGCAAAUAGAUGAUGAUGAUGAUCGCUGCAUUAAUAUCGUCUUUAUAUGUAACACUUAAUUCCUUUGCUUUCCAUAAUUGGUG
This 44230-nucleotide long non-coding RNA is filed under the name Gossypium barbadense (sea-island cotton). RNAcentral's name for it is "long non-coding RNA (GBAR_LNC016789)". Lineage: Eukaryota; Viridiplantae; Streptophyta; Magnoliopsida; Malvales; Malvaceae. The record is from RNAcentral.